Molecule: long non-coding RNA, 55838 nt
Filed under: Selaginella moellendorffii
Lineage: Eukaryota; Viridiplantae; Streptophyta; Lycopodiopsida; Selaginellales; Selaginellaceae
Description: long non-coding RNA (SMOE_LNC000943)
Source: RNAcentral
AAAAAAAGAUGCCAACGGUGAGAAAACAAAAUGGAAAUUUAGGGCUCUUCCUCUUCCGCGCUAGACUGAAAUUCACAAGAAAGCUCUGAUCUAUCGCAUCCUCGCUGGGAGCUGGGCGCGCUACCCUAACACACUGAUCCAGGGAUGAUCUAAUAAGCGUAGAACUCGACGAGCUCUUCCACCGCGCCAAUUGAAUUGCCAUUGCCGCUGUCUAGCAUCCACAGCAGGUGCUCAAACAUGACGAUCUCGCAGGGGACGAACAGCCCACAAUCUCCGGCGUCUUGCUGCUCGGCGCUGGUGGAAUUGGGCUUGGAUUUGUCGAGCAGGGAUCGAAAGAGGGGCAUCUGGAGGUAGUGCUCGCCAAGAACAUACCGCCGGCGCUCCUUGCCCACGUACACUACGAACGUCCCCUCGUAUGGGAGCUUGUGGCUGAUCAUCUGGUGGUCAUGGGCUUGCUCAUCGUCCAGGCUCGCGAUGGAUUUCUUGUUGCGCGCGAAUCGUUGCCAGGUGCUCACGAUCCUCCUGAUCUUGUUGUGCUUGUGUAUGGCCGACGAAGACGACGACGAAGAAGAGGAGCUGACAAGAGUGGACAUAACUUCUACAAAGAAGAAAGAAACAAACCAAUGUGGUGGUGAUCCAGCUCUGGCAAUCACGAAGAAUCCCUCGAAUCUCUGGGCCGAUUCAAUCCAGAAAGCUUGAAUCGUGGUCAAGAGCGCUAGCGUGGGCGAUUUCCGAUUGUGGAGAAGAUCAUCCACAUCCAAGCGAGGAGCAAAGCACCGGCGACCCAGAAAAUCGCGGGGGAUCUAGCGCAAUUGCCAUGAUAUCUUGGCUAGCAAGGAACUGGAAGAACAGCUCAAAGCUCCUCGCAAUGCCUCUUUUUUGAAGGGAAUGAGACGUGUCCUUAAGCCUUGGCCCUUGCUAAGGACACCAUGUCCCUCAUCCUUGUCAAUGACGGUAGUGAGGUGGUGGUGGUGGUCCUCCAGUUUUGUGGAGGUGGAGACAAAAUAUUUGGAGUCUUGAUCGUCAAUCCUACUCUAGCCUACGCACAUAAAUGUUUCAUGUUCCAUUCAUUAACACUCAACAUUGUAAACUCUGGUUUUUAGUUGUAUUUUUAUAUUUCUUAUUAUAUGGUUAGCUUUAUUAUUAUUAUUAACUCAUUAAUACAAUCAUUUGAUCUAGUCAUGGUCGUGUUGGAACACGUCUCCACAAGUCUUAGAGACGAUCCCACACGGUUUCCGGCAUUGGCAAAAUCAACUCCUCCUCGAAUUGAAUGUUUCAUAUCGCUGGAGAUCGAGUUGGACCCCAUUGGUUUCAAUCUCUUUUUGUAAUACCUGCGCAUGCAUGCUGGAAGUUUCUUCGAAUUGGAUUGAAUCACUUGACCACUGCAUAAAUUAAUGUAUAGCUUGUGAGAGACUCAGCUACGAUUCCUGUCCUAGCAGCUGUUCUUUCGAGUCCAAGAGAAAUUGAUAGAAGCAACAUUAAGAUUGGAUGGAUGUUUGCCACCAAAAAAGUCUCCAAUGGUACAUUGCCAGGUAUUUUGACGAUAUGAGAUACAAGCUUACAUCUUUGAUCAUGGAUUUGUUUUGGAAGAGAAAAUUCAACCAGCGUUGAGCCACUGUGGCUUUUGCCAGCACCAAGGAAGGACAAAGAAAGUGAUAAGUGAGUCCAACCAAGGCAGCCACAAAUAAUAAAUUAGGACCACAUCAAAUGAGAAAAUCCCAUCAGGAAUCAGCCAUGUAUGUGCAACUGCAAGGCUAGUGUAGACAUAUGAUCUGUGCUUUAUUUCAUUGUUGCUGCCUGUUUUUCCCCUGCCACACUUGCCUGUUGGUACUGACUUGGUGGAGUGUAAUAAAAGUAGUGGGAGAGAUGGGAGAAUGAAAUUGAUGUUAUACUCUGCACUUUUGCUUGUCUUUUUGAAAGAAAAGAAAGAGAGAACCUCAGCAAAAACUUCCUCAGAGCCUUGCAUCUGCUGUUUGAGCUUGCAAAAGCUGAUAAUGGGGGAGCACCCUUUCAAUUGGGAUAGAUUUCACAUCCCUGUCACAGUUGGUGGGCUUCUCUAGUUGCACAUUUCACACAGCUAGCUGCACAUACUGGUGUGCAGAUCAAAUGGGACAAGCAACUCCACUGUCUCAGGAGGCCCACAUAGUUGCAGUGUACAGUGCUCUUUUACCUUUCACCUCUCAAGGAUGAAGUGUUUUCUUGCCUUAGCUGCUGCAGUUUUGGAAGUUGGAGUCAGAGAGGGGAGAGGAAGGGUUUGGAAGAAUGCAUACAUGUUCAACCAUACAUGUUAUCCAAUUUGUCUCCAUGCAGAGCUCAAGUUGCUGCUACACAAAAUGUUGGGCAUGUCCAAAAUUCUGUACAGCUUCACUCUCUGUUGAGUCCAAAAUUAUAGCAAGGAUCAGCACAAGAUGAUGAUCCUCGUGGGAAGUUCAGCGACCAAACAAUAAGAAAGUUGACAACCUUUUUCUCAAAAAGAAAUUAUGGUUCCAGGGUGCACAUGAGAGUGUUUUGGAGGUCUGGAAGACACAGUUGGCCACCAACAUUCAGAAUUUCCGCUGCUGCACGUGUGGCAAGGACGAGAACCCUGAUCAAAUGGUGGUGGCCAGAAGAUCGAAACGUACCCACACCUUCACGAUUCGGUUCCAGAGUACAAAACCAAAAAAACAAAAUGGGGAAAAGAAAGGUCAGCCAUGUUUCAUGUAUAGCAGCUUUUUCUCUCUUUUCCUUCUGAGAAGAGCACAUGAAGGCCACAAGGUCUAAGCAUUCUUACUUACAAACUAAACAACCUCUCCGUUUUGCUAAAUCCGCCAUGGAAACCGCCAGCGUUCGAGCAGUGCAAGUUAGCGAGCAGAACGUAUGCUGCUCCAUACCCCGGAUCCAUCCCGAGGAUUUGCCUGGUAGCACCAAGGCCGCCAUGGAUGCUGCUAUGACUCCUUGACGCUCCAAGCAAGCACAUCCAGUCCAAGGCAUCGGCCUCGAAAGGCAUGGUUUCGACGAGCUCCCCCGCCUUGGUAAGGCGCCCGGCACGAGCGAGCAAGUCCACCAUGCAUCGGUAGUGCUGCUUCGAGGGCUGAAUCCCAAAGUCCACGCUCAUCGACUGGAAGUAUGAUCUUCCACUGCCGAGAUCGCCCUGGUGGCUGGAAGCGACCAACACCGACGCGAAGCACGCAUCGUCCGGGGCAAAAACCAUCUUCAUCCCGUGGAAAGUUUCGAAAGUAUGAUUGCAGUGUUGCCUGCUUUGAGCUGACGCUGCAAGCACCGCAUUGCAAGACACUACGUUUCGUUCCGGCAUCUCUUUGAAGAUCUUCCUGGCGUCUUUCACGAGCCCGUGUUGGAUCGCACACGUCCAGGAGACGACGUUCUUUUGUGGCAUGGAGUUGAAAAACUCCUUUCCUUCAAAAAUGCACCCGUUUAGCGUGUACGCAGCAAGCAUGACGUUCCCUGUAACUACAUUCCGCUGAGGAAAUCUAAGGUAGAACUUUCUAGCCUCGUCCACGAGUCCACAGCGUGCAUAAGCUUCCAGCAUAGCGUUCCACGACACCACGUCGUGCUGUGCCAUGUCACAAUCGAACAGCUUCUUAGCCUCCUCCAAAUGUCCAGUUCCGGCAAAUGCCGCUAGCGUGGAAUUCCACGUCACCAGAUCCUUUGCUGACAUGGACUUAAAGAUUCCCAAAGCUCCGUGCAAGUCCUCGACAUUAGCGUAAGCACUAAGCAUAGCGUUGUGCGAGAGUAUAGUAUGAUGUGGCAUGCUAUCGUAUAACUUCUUAGCUUCGUACAGAUCCCCGUUUUGGGCAAAUGCAAAGAGCAUCGUAUUACACGACACUACGUUCCUAUACGGCAUACAUUUGUACAGUAUUUUAGCUUCCUCUAAGUUGAAAGCUUGUAGAAUUGCAGCUAUCAUUGUAUUCCAAAUAAUAAUAUUUACAAAGGGCAAGCUACAAAACAAGAGUCUUGCUGCCUCUAGAUACCGGUGUUGGGCAUAAGCGGCUAGCAAUGCACUCGCUGUGAUUAAAUCCUGCCAAGGCAUACUAUCAUAAACUUGCUUUGUUUGCUCAAAAUCUCCAACUAGCGAGAAGGCACACAGCAUACAAGUAAAUGACACGGUAUCUUUCACAGGCAUCUUACUAAAUAUCACCUUCGCGAGAAGUAUAUGCCCGCUUUGAGCAUAGGCCGAGAGCAGCACAUUCCACGAGAUAAUAUUCCACAUUGGCAUCGACUCAAACAGUGACUCCACUUCUACCACUUGAUCCUUGCGCGCGUAGCCAGUCAAAAUCGUGUUCCACGAGAAUAAAUCCGGGCCGUCUAUCUGUCCAAAUAUCCUGUGGGCCUCGCCCAGAUUCCCUUCCCGGGCAUAUGCCAGGAUCAUCGCAUUGCAGCACACAACGUUGUGAAGCGGCAUCGCGUCGAAAAGAUACGCCGCAUAUUCCACCCUCCCUUCAGUGGCGCAGGCAAAGAUCAUGGUGGUCCAAGAGAAGACGUCUCUACGCGGCAUCGCAUGGAAUAUCCUCUGGCACUCGCAAAGAUUCCCUUGUUGGGCAAAUGCGUCGAGCAUCGCAUUCCAGGCAAUUAGAUUCCAUCGCGGCAUGGAAUCGAAGACCUGCUUGGCUUGCCGCACAAAUCCAUUGCGGGAGUACGCGCAGAGCAUGAGAACCCAAGAGAAAGAAUCCCUCGUCGCGGCAGCCAUGCCGCAAAAGAGCUGGAACGCAAGAUUGGGGCUCCCGCACCGCCCAUACAUCUCGAUCAGCUUGUUACACACGAAGACAUCGCCGAUUAGCGCGGGAUCCAUGCGGGAGUGGAUCAAUCGCGCGUCGCUCAGGCUCCGGCAGCUACGCAUGAGCUCCAGCCAUCGAGUCCUGUCCAUGCCAUUCAAAAUGCCCAAGAACCCUAGUUUAGACGGUGGAGAUUUCACCGCGUGGGACUAGUAUCGCCAAUUGUAUGGCUGCGAUGUAUUUACAGUGUCUUUCCAUGAAGAAUGAGCUCAGUCGCUUCCUUGCUCUGGAUCCACGGAUCAUUGCGCUGGAGGAGGCGGAGGAGGUACUCGAACAGCGCGACCGGGCAGGGGAUGAGAAGCCCGCCGCUGUAAGCGUAGCCAAAUUCUUCCUCGGAUUGCUGGAGCAGCGCCCCAAACACUGGAUGCUGGAGGUAGCGCGUCUUGAGGACGAAGCGCUUGUGCUCCGGGCCGACGUAGACCGCGCAAGAUCCUCGGUGGACGUCGCGCGGGAUCGAAGGAGGCGAUCUCCUGGCGAUAAUCUUCCUGUUCUUCGGCGACGCAGGGGAGGGCAAGGCGCAGCUCCUGGACGACGCCAUUGCGCAAGAGAGGCGCUCGAAUUUGUGGCACAGCCGCUUCAAGAGAUUGGUGUGGUGAUGGUGAUGAUCGUCCUGGUGGAGCUUGUGGUAGCGCGAGUGAUAAUGCCGCCGGAAGAGUAGCGCCUUGAGCUUGAUCUUCUUGAGCAUCUUCAUCCUCUCCCUGGAGAGAAAUAUCGAUCCUGCUCCUCCCCCUAGAAAUAUUUCGUCGCCAUCGCGGCUCCUCUUACCCUUCCCUCUCGAUUCGGCACGAUUUCCUCUCGAUUCCUUGCGGGAAAUCGGAGGCCGUGCUAGAACGCGCGUGAAUCGACCCCAGGCACCUUGAGGAGGCCGCCAAACCAGAGAAGCACCGACAGGAUCCGGAGCGACCACAGCAGCCAAGAUCUCUGGAAGAAGCACAAGAUCACAGGGUCCAUGAAAUGGAAGAAGCUAGAGAAUCUAGAGCGAGCGAUUGAAAUGCGAGCGAUCGCGACAAGGCACAGCAGAGAUUCUCACGGGGAGUGGAGAGGGAAGGAGAGAAGCUGGAAGAACAACGCCAUGAUCGAAGCUCUUGCUUGCUCUUUCCAAGAAAUAGGGCAAACCCGGGUUUAAAUUGGCGUGCGCCGGACUCGAACAGGGGACCGUUUCAUGCAAACCCGGUCAAAAGGGGCGUUGCAUCGUAUGAAGCGGCGCGUUGAAAAACGUGUUAGUUGUGGGUUCCUCUUUCGGGACGAACUUGUUUGAUUAAAAUUCCCCAAGGUUUAGUUCGCAUGGAUUCAUAGUUAAGUGAUAUAUCAUACAUUGUGUUAGAUCAACUCGAUUCUAUAAGGUUAUAGAUCUUCUCAAAGCCAGAGCUCCCAGAGACAGUGAAGGACCAUUGAGAGAGUGAGUGACACGGUUGAUCCAUCCACGCACGAAGGCAACUUUUGAGCUGAAGAAAAGAAGAAAACGACCACUUGCGACCAAAUUAAAAUAUAAAAUAAAUGAAGAAUAAAAGCCAACAAUAAUAUAACAUUAAAAAAACAGUGUUAAAAAUAAUAUUUUGGCUGCGGUCGACCAACACCACCACGAUUUCGAGGAUAUUUGGUUUUCCCAUUGCAGCAAAAGGACUACAAAGUACAGUGGUACAAACAAUAUAUGUUUUGUUUCCUUAGAAGCUUUGGUGGACCUUUGGAUUCCCGCCACUCCUUUUCAAUCAAUCGACAUAGCUUAGCUUGUGCUCGGCCGGGCCGCUGGCAAGUUUUUAAAGUUGAAAAGCAAGAUCAAAAGGGACCUGUCACAUAGGGGCGCACGAUAGAUCGAGACGAGCACGAGAAAAGUGAUAGAAAACUCUGUGACAAUAGUACCUGGAGGAGAGCUCGAAUUCUAAGUAGAUUUUGCCGCUGGCCAAAGUGGAUUCUCUAGCAAGUGUGAUGAGGCUUGGACACUCCUUACCACCACCUUGCAAUCGGCAUCAACUGUGUAGGAGAUCUUCAGGCCCUCGAGAAUCACAUUGUAAAGCACGAGCUUUUCAUCCCCUCCUCCAUUAUGGAGCUCGGAAGAAUCGCCAUAGAGUGGCUGCGCGAUCUCGCUGACCACUCCAUCGUGCGGCCUCUGCCGCUGGCUCAAGGAGCGAAUAUCGCGAGAGAGAACCUGCGCUAUGAAAUCAUGUAGCUCUCUGGAACUGGAAUAGAGUGAGAACCUUUCCUGCCGUUUUCCAACAGGAGACGCUUGUCAACGACAAAGCAAACAAAAGAAGGAAAGAUAACUGCAAAGUGGUUUGCGUAAGGACUACGAGUGCGUACCAUUUUGUUCCAGCACUCAUCGAGGCCAUUUAGAGAAGCUUCAGUGAAGGUGACGGAAGCCACGGCGAGUGGAUCGUCCUCUCCGCCGGCCUGGAACAAAAGAGAGAAAAGAUAAAAUCUUGACAAUCUUUCGCAAGUGAUCACAGAAUAAAAUCGGGAAAUCUUUGGCUCUUACAUUGACCCACGUUGGUGCCGAAGCUUCUCUCACGGAAUCGCAAUAUGGAAGAUAAGGCUUUAUGUCAAUCACGGGCUACAACAUCACAAAUACGACAAGCACCAUAAAACUUGGGUAGAAAAGGAGGUCGAAGAAUAGUAUACCGUGCCAUCAACGAGAUCAGCUCCGGAAAGCAUUAGAAUUCCAUGCUCCAGACGUUCCACCUGAAGAACAAAUUUUUAAGAUCAAACACGACAAGAAUUUCAGGGAAAAAGAUAGAGACCUUUGCAACUGUUAAGCCGAUAGGACACGGUCGAUGUGGAGUUCUAGUCGCAAAAACUCCGAGCUUGGCACCAUUGAGCCUUGGCACUCGUACCUUUUACGCAAAGGAACUAGCUUAGCGCUGGAAAUACAAAGAAUGUGUUUUGUCACCUUAGCCUUGAAGUCUCGAUGGCUCGAUAGCUCCCACAAGUUGUGUAAGUCUGUGUUCUCGUGAAAAACGUAGAUUAACCAGCAGUGUGAGUACUGCUCAAUCCCGUCCAGGGCCGCGGCAGGCACCCCGGAGGACAAAACCAAGCGCGAUUUAGCAAGUGUUACGAGGAGAGGUUGACGAGGAGUUCCAUUUCUUCACAAAAAAAGAGAGAAAAACUUUUGUUCUCAAAUAGAACUUAGAUAGAGUUUUGAGUACCUUGUUGAAUAACAUGAUCUCAUAUACCCGAUUGGUGUCAUGGGAAAGGACGAUGUGGGAGUUUUUCCAAUGACAUUGCAUUGCAUCAAGUUUUUUCGCAAGUCCUGAGGAAUGGUCAAAAGAUUAGAAAGGAAAACAAAAGGAAAGGAACGAAAAUACUCACACGCUGUGCACGAAUUCGGCCCGUUCUUUCUUCGGCUCUUUGCUUCUGGGAUAUUUGCAAAGCGUCGUCUGAUUCAACGAGCUUGAGCUCCAGUUUGACACACUUUCUUUUCAAUCUCCAAACUAUAUGAUAUGAUCACACCAGAGAACGAAAUUUAAUCCUUUAGACACCCAUCUUCCAAAAGAAUUCGCGUACCUUGAAUAAGCAAAGCUGUCGCAGUGGAAACUGAAACCACCGCUAUAGCCCAUCUCAUCAUUUCCGUGGCCUAGAGCUUAGGGUUCUAGCCUUUCUCGUGUCACUAACGUUGACUUAUGCGUUGACUAGUUGACUUUUCAGCCAGCUACUGCCCGAUCGAAGCGUUCGCAGCUCGCCAUCUAAAAUGGCCUUGGCCAUUUCUCGUCGCGGUUCGUGCACAAUGCCGUGGACAUCUCCUGCCUACAAGGAAAACAGUGAUUGGAUUUUAGCAAAGCUUUGCGAGAAAACUUUACCAAGUCCGCUGCUACAUAUUUCUCGAUAAGAUUGUCGAGCUGGGAGAGGAUUUCUAGUAGAGCACAUCGAUCUUUGUGUUGGUUAUCUUGAUCCCAGGAAAAAUUGCCGCUCCCAGCGGAGCUCGCGUCCAGUCGCUCAAGUUCUGCCGAGAAAACUUGAAUUAGUAGCAAAAGGAAGAACAGUACCUUCGGGGGUUUUUGCGCAAAGAACUCGAGCAAAACUGCGAAGGCCGGGUGGAAUUCCAUUCGGAUUUGAGUUCAUAUCCCUGAAGAAACAAGAACAAAAGACAAAAGUGGGACUCCGUAAGAAGAUGCUCUUACUGGAUGACAAAAGCUUUUCCCAUACUGCCAUCUUCUUCCUCUGUUAUUUUGAUCUUGUUCCUGGAGAAGACGUCAAGUUUUGCGUCGUAGAGCGGAUCGUCUGGGGAGAUGGUCACCCAGAUUUCCGCCUGCGAGCAAAGUUUUAAGUGGCAAGAUGACAGUUGGUGUGAAGUUUUACCUCGUCAAAGGGAUUGUAAGAAAGAGCGAAUCCAUAGUCCACAGCCAGUGUAACAUUUGGAAGCUGGCCAUAGCUGAUGAACACCUAUACUUGAGAUUAAUUUCGGGACAACAGUGAUGCAAAGUAAUCUUACUUCAUCACCAGUAGCGUAAUCUCGAUCUGCUAUAACCUGAAAGAUGCAAGGGUUAGUACAUUGCUUUCAGAGAAAAAGGCGAAGGAACCAUACUACGACGCAGUUUUUAUCGGGGUCAUGCGAAAGAAUAGACUCGCACUUCCAGUCGUGAUUGAUGAGAUCAACGUAAGGAACCUGGUAAAAAAUUCCAUAGAUGAGAAAGUGAAACUCUAUCGAAUGAGAUCACCAUUCCCAGCUCGCAGAUGUCCGUCACUCGCCAAGAGCGCGUCGCCACUGUAAAAAACUUGCUCGAGAAAUCAAGAAGAAAAAAAUUUACGUACCUAUCGAGUAUGCGUGCUUGAAGGCAUCGUAAGACGCAGUUUCUCCAAAGAUAUGGCGACAACGAGAGAUUGCCUGCGAGAAAAAACAUAAAAAUCCACGAAUUUGAGUUAGCACCGAAAGAAGAUGAUCCAUUUGUGAUACAAACACUCUGGACGUCCGAAAAUUCCAUAUCCAGCCACCUCUCGCGUUGCGUAGUCUUGAAAUAAACCGGACUGUGCCUCACACAUUGAAGCUCUUCCUGCUUCCAAAACACCUGGAGCGCUACAAAACUAAGAACACGAGGAAGAAGAAAAUGGUAGACUUAACUGUGUUGUUUAGUUCAACCAGCGAGGGAAGAAUUCCCAUGUAAGGAUCCCAGGCUGAGUUCUAGGAUAGUUUCUUAGCUCUCGACUUUGCGAUGAAUGAAGAACACUAGUACCUGGCCUUUGUUCCACUGGGCGAGGAUGAAAAGAGCCAGCCGCGACCAUUCUGUGGCCUGCGCAGGCAAGAAUCUCGCGACUUCGUGUUGCAGGCUUCGAGAAGUGAUCAUCUGCCAAAGGAGGUAAGCAAUGCACAUGUGUAGAACAAGCGAGCAUCUUACAAGACUAGGUGGAACUUCCAGCAUGCGCUCUCCAGCUCGAAUUGGACGAGACGCAAACAUUCCACUGCAAAGCAUUGAUCUUGCUAUCAAAUGGGGCAAAGAAAAACGAGUGAAAGAUCGCGAUGCUCUCACCGCCCGGAAGAACAAGCGCCAAUCGAGAGCGCCGAUUGCUGCGCAUUGCUUAGGGCGCCUUGCGUCCUCAGCCACGAGAGGAAAUGGCUCGUCUUCGAGCCAAGCGCCUUUGAAUCGAGCAUUCCUUGCUCACAACCCUCAGAUCCUCCGUCAUCCACCGGCUCAAAAGCAGACACGUGGAACGAUCUUACGGUCGGAAUCCACCCUAUCCAACGGCCGCAGGGGUUUUAGAUCCGACGGCUAGAGCUCCAGUGAAGGCAUUAGGGUUUUACGAUCUUUAGGGUUCUUGGAGGGCGGCCGCAAAAUGGCGGAGAGGGGAGGAGGAGGAGGAGGCGAGCAGCGCGAGCGCGGUGGAUUUGGCCGGGGCUUCGGCGGUCGCGGCAGGGAUCGCGGCCGUGGCGAUCGCGGCCGCGGCCGGCGCUCGAGGCGCGCGGACGAGGAGGAGAAAUGGGUGCCGGUGACCAAGCUCGGCCGCCUCGUCAAGGACGGUAAGAUCAGGAGCCUCGAGCAGAUCUAUCUCUUCUCCCUCCCCAUCAAGGAGCACCAGAUCGUCGAGUUCUUCCUCGGUAGCGCGCUCAAGGACGAGGUGAUGAAGAUCAUGCCAGUGCAAAAGCAGACGCGCGCCGGGCAGAGGACGCGAUUCAAGGCCUUCGUGGUGGUGGGAGACAACAAUGGCCACGUUGGUCUGGGCGUCAAGUGCAGCAAGGAGGUGGCGACCGCGAUCCGAGGCGCGAUCAUCCUCGCCAAGCUCGCGGUGAUCCCAGUGAGGCGAGGCUACUGGGGAAACAAGAUCGGCAAGCCACACACCGUCCCGUGCAAGGUCACUGGGAAAUGCGGCUCGGUGACUGUCCGGAUGGUGCCAGCGCCCCGAGGAGCUGGGAUCGUUGCCGCUCGCGUCCCCAAGAAGGUGCUCCAGUUUGCCGGGAUCGAGGAUGUUUUCACCUCGUCGCGCGGAUCGACCAAGACACUCGGCAACUUCGUCAAGGUGAGGAUUGGUCUGAUCGUUCUUUCAUUCUCGACGAGUUUUUCUUGGUCUUUCGCAGGCUACGUACGACUGUCUGUUGAAGACGUAUGGGUUCCUCACCCCGGAUCUGUGGAAGGAGACCCGGUUUACCAAGUCGCCGUUCCAGGAGUUCACGGACUACCUGUCCAAGCCUACCAAGUUGGUGAUCGAGGACGUCGAGAAGGCCCCGGUGUACUGAGUAGCACUACUACUAUUCCCUGUUUCAUCUUUUUGGAGCUUGAAUACCAAAGUUUUUGAUUUGCUCAGUGAUAUCGAGUAAGAUGAUCUUCUAGACAAGCUGCCAGACACGAAGAAAGAGAGAUCAGAGUUUUAGAUCGAGCUCAUGUUCUUUCUUACAUCGAGAACUGGAAAGCCUGGAGUUUUCUCGUAAGCGUUUGGGAGAAGUUGGAUCAUCCGGCGAGAGGAUUCGAGUGCAUGGUGACUCUGUUUAGCCUGAUCUCCGCCAAGGGACGAUCUCCAGCACCCGUUUGUGUCUGUAGCGAAGAAACUGUAAGACCACUAUCGAUCGAAAGCAAGAAAAGUGUGUUAACCUUCUCCAUGAGGUCGAGAACUUCGAAGCCAUGGAUGACUUUGCCAAAGACGGUGUAGAGGCCGUUUAAGUGGGGCUGCUUGGCAUACGUGACGAAGAACUGGCUCCCAUUCGUGUUUGGUCCGCUGUUGGCCAUGGCAAGGAUUCCUCUCGCGUUGUGCUGAUACAAGAAAGAGAGUAAGAACAAUCGCUCAGCUCAAUCUUAUCAUCCAAGGAGAAGAAGAAAGAAAGAAAGAAGAAAAUUUUCUACCUUGAGAGACUCGCGAAUCUCAUCGUUAAACUUGCGACCCCAAAUGCUGGUACCUCCGCGCCCAGUUCCAGUGGGAUCGCCUCCUUGGAUCAUGAAUCCUUUGAUGUUGCGGUGGAAGAUUGUGCCGUCGUAGUAGCCGCUCGCGCACAGCGCCAGGAAAUUCUACAUCUCCAACAUGAAAAUCUUUCAGUCUCUCUCGCGCUCUCUCUUCUAAGAUUUUACCUCGGCUGUCUUUGGGACCUCGUCGCAGAAGAUCUCGCACUUGAUAUCUCCCAGAUUGGUGUGCAAUGUGAUCGACUACAAUGAAACAACAAGAUUUCAGCUCCAAUCGCAGCAGAGACUCUGCUCACCAUCGUCUCCCUCCCAAGAACCCUAGACUUGGGUUUUAAGUUAAUUCUUUUACACAAAGCUCUUUAAACUUUAAAGACUAUGUUGUGGCUUUCUCUCGCAAAUAGCUUUCCCAGCCCAUGGCUUCCAAUCUCUCUGCCUUCUCGAUCACCUUCCUUUCUAGCUCCUCUUUGUAGGAUAUCAUCCUGGAAGAGAAGAAACGAGAUCGUUUUAAUGGGUGAAACCAUUGCAAACUCACUUGUCAAGCAUUCUCGGGUCCCAAACUUGCAAGAACCUCGCAGCUAAAAUCCCUGCGUUUGCUCCAUUGUCCACUGCAACCCACGCAACCGGCUCUGGCUACGAUCACACAAAGUGACAGUUGGUCGAGAGCGCAUUGAUUCUUUCAGCUGAACUGGCAACUUACUUGCACAGCGAUUGGAAGUUCGAUUCCAUGCUUCGAUGAGCCUUUGCUGGUCGGAACCCCGAUCACUGGAAGUGGCGUGGCACCGGCAACAAUGCCUGCGAAAACAACGAAAAUAUAAGCAUACGAGUAGAAGAUCACCAGGGACUGACCAGGUAACUCGGAGUAGCCGAUCGAUACGACAACGAGAACUUUGAGACCUUUCGCGUGAGCAUCUCUCACAUAGUUGCUGGAUACUGCUACGAUCUAACCACGCACAAGAAUAGAGUUAAUGCUUCCAUCAUAUAUAACAAAACGAUAUUUAAUACCUCACAAGGCACACCAAACGAUUCCAGCGCUGCGGCAGCAGCCUUCUCGGGAGUCCCCGCGCAAGUCGUCAAGAUUCCCACGACAGGAGGAGCAGCUGCGGAGUUACAUUCGCUCGGUAGUCAAUCGUAGAAUUAAUCACAGUACCAGAUUCCUUUGCAUUGUACUGCUUUGUGAUGUCGCUGCCAACAAACGCUUCCAGCUUUUCCAGACACUGCGAUCUCCUCUCUUCUCCUUGGUGUGCGAUAACCCUGUACAAAAACAACGUUUGGAAAAACCAAGAGAACGGAAACACCUCGACGUACUUCGAUUGGAGGUGUUCGUCGGAAGUAGCCAGUAUCCUCACGGCCAGAAGUCCUGCGUUCUCUGCAUCAUCGACGGCUACAGUAGCAACAGGAAUUCCCGUUGGCAUCUGCCGUGAAAAGAAUUGCCUUCUCUUUCUAACUGCGAAAGGCAAAUGGUUUACCUGAGCAAUCGACAAGAAGGAAUCCAGUCCUCUUAAUGCUGUGACAUCGACCGGAACACCGAUAGCUGGGAGAGGCGUAAUGCUGCCAACCAUUCCUGAACCAAACCUCGAAAAGUCGAGAGAGAAAACAGAAGAAAAAAUUCUACAAAAAGAAUUGACUAACCGGGAAGGUGCGCAGCACCACCAGCUCCAGCGAUAAUCACAUUGAGAUUGUCAAGGUGAGCAUUCGAUGCGUAGCUAUACAUUCGUUCCGCGGUCCUGUGAGCCGAGACAAUCGUCAUCUACGCACAAACGACUUAGCUAGAAAAACGGCAUACUAAUUCACAGACCUGGUACUUUACACCAAAAAGAUCAAGAAGUUUUCCGGCGUGUCUCAUGGUAGAAAGAUCUGAAUCCGAACCCAUGAUAAUUCCCACUGCCGGUUUUUCUAGCUUUGAGAAAACUAUAUAUUAAGUGAAACAGGGAAACGAAAACAAAAAACCGAUGUUACCUGUCGGAUGUUUGCAUUCAGCUUCUGAACCAUCCGUGAUUUGACGCAUUCUUUGUUUCACGGUGGCCAUCGAUGGCCCCACAACUGUGACAUGACCCAUUUUUCGUUGUCUCCGAAACUCUACGCUCAGUGUGAAGCCUAAGUCGCACUACUCAAUAAUGAUAGCAAACCUCGCUUGUGGUACCAAUGUACACUAGCACCUGGAAUGCUAAAUGCCUUGUUCAUUAUCUUUUGUGCGAUAGAUGCACCGAGCUCACCCUGAAUGCUCGCAAACAAUGAGCUACAACACGAAGAAAUAAGAACGUUACCUCUUCAGCCAAAAUGUUAUACAUUCCUGCUGCUGAAACUUUCAUGGAAGUGUCACCGAGUGGCAAGCCUAGGACAGCACGAAGGUGCUGUUCAAACUGCGAAACGUAGCAUGCUUCGAUAGUAAGAUGGCCACUGUUAUGCGGUCGUGGUGCAACCUCAUUCAGCAAAAUCUACAAGAAAAGUUAGAAACAAUCAAGAGGCAAAAAAUGUAUACCAGAUUAUCAGAAGCCAAAAACUGCUCGACGCAAAAAAACUCCAGCGCCACCAAAUGAAGCGACAGCUUUUGCUGCUAGGUCCAGUGCUGUCUUCUCGGCAGCUUUCGGAAUCAGGGCCGGUGAUAGCACUGUAUGGCAGAUGCUCCUCCUGGACGAAUCAGAGAAGUUCUGAAUACAAAGGAAAACGAGUAAGCUAGCCUUGCCUUUGAGUAGUCUCCACCAGUUGAUAGCACCGUGUUGUUCCAUCUAUGCCACGGGCAACCAUCACUGCUAGUUCCUAAAAGAAUGGAUCAGGCAAACGCAGAAAAACUACAAACCUUCUCAAAAGACACCCACUUCUCCGCAAACAGACCUUGCUCAAAACCUCCCAAUGCUGCGGUGACAAGAGAAGAACCACUUAGCGAGCAGUGAACACGGAAGGGCUAUCUUACCUUUCACAGACGGAAGCAAGUCACUUCUGCUUCUCACUGCGAUGUUCCCGCGGCCAUCGUAAGCAAACCGGCGGCAUUUUAGCAUGAACGGGUAUCCCAGAACAGAAGCUGCAUCCUCCAAGCUUUCUAAGCCAGUAACCUGUGAACUAAUGUCGAUCAAACAUUUCAAAACUGUAGAGCUCUAGACAAACCUCCACGAACUCAGGAACUGGAACACCAUACUUUAUAAAAUGCAGCUUCUGGCGAUACUUGUCCUGCAAGAAGGAAACAACGAUUACCUACAUUUGCUCGGAAACUGCUAACCUGAAUCGUCUUAAUAGUACUCGAGCUCGGUUCCACGCGAACUCCCUGCUUUUCAAGCUCGUCAAGUGUUCCCGCAUCAACAUGCUCUAUCUCCAUAGUCACGACUUCACACCUGAAAUGACGAAACGAAGUUUAGCAACGAAAGAACAAGAAAAGCUGGUAUACGCUUUGGCGAACUCCAAAACAGCAUAUCUAUCGUCAAACUCCGCAACAACAUGACGAUGAGCAAGAGCACUGGCAGGACAAAUCGCCGAAGGGUCCAGAACCGCGACUUUGACACCCAUCGCCGAGCCAGCUUCGCACAGCAUUCGGCCCAAUUGCCCCCCUCCCAGGACUCCCACCACAGCAUCGUCUAGCCAAAACCUCCUGCCAGAGCAAAUUCUUCUUCUAGAACGAAAGAAAGACUAAGAGGAUUUACCCCGAUGAAAGCUGCUGCUGCUGUAAAGCCGCUUCGUUCAGCGCUCUCGCAAAGGAGAUCCGAGCGGCAGUGCUCGCCUCGCCGAUCCGGAGACGGCAUUGGUUUGCAAAGCAUCGAGAAUGCGGCGGCACGGCUGGCGCUGCCAUGAGCUAGAACCCUAAUUUCACUUCUAGGGUUUUAGGGAACCGUUACCUUCGCUUGAGGAGUGGACACACAAAACGAGGAAACUAACUGAUACAAUGACUGCUCUCCCUAUCAAAGCUAUCACUCCGGCACGAACAGAUCGGUCACUGCGACGAGAAGUGGGCGAUCGAAGCCGAGACCGCCUUCUCCUUCCUGGCAUCGCUUGUGCCCGACGGUGCUCGACUUGGGCACGAUGAUGCGUAGAAUUCCCUUCCCGGCCUGCGCGGUGACGCCCUCGGUGCAUGCAUUGCGCGGGAGAGCAAAGCGGAGCUCGAAGAGCCAGUUGAGAGCCGAGCCGGGGAGCUCGAGCGCUCGGGGGACCGCGGCGCUGUAGCGAGCUCGGACGCUGAUAAAGCCGUGCUGCACCACGACCUCGAGCUCCUCCUUCUCGAACCCGCCCGCGACGGCGCGGAUUUGCACGGCCUCUGCCUCGCGGAAGUACUGCCGCACGAACAGAUUCUUGCGGGGGCGCAGCUCGCCGGUGAGAUCGAUCACCAUCCAGCUCACCCAACCGCCGCUCCCGUCGUCGUCGUCGUCGUCGCCAACUGCGCGCACAGAUCGAGCAAAGGAUUAGCGGAGGAGGAAGAAAGAAAGAAGAAAGAGAUAGAGACAAGGGAAGUCGAUCGGAUCGGCGAGCGCGGAUGGAGGAACUAGAGCUCGCGAGCCGCUGCGCUUGAUCUUGAUUCUCGGACUGAGCUCCUCCUUGCGCACCCCUGGCGCCUUGACAAAGCCAGCGCCUUUGGCUGCCGCGGUGGUCGCCGCCAUCGCCAUCGCAGAGACGCCGCGAAAAACACCGGCAUUCCCCAGCAAACGAUCCAUCCCACCUCGCCAGAAACAUGGAAUGAUGGAUGCUUAAAUACGUACUACUGGCGAUACGGUCGUGAAGCGAGACAUGCUAGCAUAUUCCGUUCCGGCAGUGGUGCUAUUGUAUAUUCUACUAGGUAAAUAAAACUCAUAUAAAAUUUUGCAAAACUUCGUUUGUAAAGAAUUUAAGAUGAACCUUCCAUAAAUUCAAGCUUUCUAAGCCAGUAACCUGAGAACUAUCGUGAGCGAUUCAACAUAUCAAAAUUGUAGAAUUCUAGACAAACCUCCACGAACUCAAGAACUGACGAUUUUGUCCUGGAAGAAGGAGACGAAGAUGAGAACCGCUAAUCUGAAUUGUCUAAAUUGUGGUAACUCCCUGCUUUUCAAGCUCGCCAAGUAUUUCCGCAUCAACAUACUAACAUAGGUUUAAGAUUUUGCUUCCAGAAGUUCUCGACGGCGCGAACCUCAAAAGUCAGCUUUAUAUUCAGAAAAAAUCACUCAAACACGAGACCUUGUAGCCGCUCUUUUUUUGCAAAGCUUUGGUGGAAUGACUCAUGCUGUAGAUGUAGAGCGGCUGCUUGCUCGAAAAUCCUCGCUUCCAAAGCAAAAAGACGCUAGAAACUCUUACACUAUGGUAGAACCGCGCCCAGAUUUCUCCAGGGCGAGAGAGGAAUCUCGAUCGAGGAGGAAACGAGGAAGCACGAAGAAGAAGGGGAGGGUGGCAAUUCUUCUUUCUUCUUGAGAUAGGGUUUAGGGCUUCUUGCCAUGGGGGGACUGCCCGUUUAGAAGACCGCAGCACACUGGAGGUGGUGAACCACGUGUUCGCGGGCUCGGAUCCCGAAGAAAAGCAAAGAAUUGUGGAGGUGCUGCAUUGUGUCGGUGUCCGUUUUGGCAGGGACAUUGCUCGCCCCCUUGACGAGCCAGAGGAAGUGCGCAAGGUACUUGGACGCCCUCUUUCGAGCUCCAUCGCCAAGCCGCUGAUAGCUCACAAGCUGCUCAAUCAAUGUAAGUAGCUUCUAUGAUUCCACUAAUAACUGCCUAGUAUCUUACUUGUCCCUUUGGCAGUGUCGCCUGGGAAACAAUGCGUACGUGCGCUUGAUCUUGAUCGCAAGGAGGACAGGCAAUCUAAGAUCACUGGGCUCGUGAUUAGACAAAUGUUCAAGGGAGUUACGGUUCCCAAGCACAUCUACAAGCCUUUGUUAUUGCCCCUGAUUGAUGGAGUGGACCAAACCUUUGAUAAUUCAGAUGAUGCUUACGAUGCAUACGAAGCCAUGGUGGAGAAAAUGAAGCAACGUCUUGGCACUGCUGUGACAUUCGACAAGGUGGAUGUUAAGAGGCCGGACGAACCAUGUGACAACGAUUCCGAAGUCUUCCGCUUUUGUUCCCAAGAAGCCAAGUUGUUAUGGGUGAUGAGAGCCGGCUCUGAGAACACUGCAUGCGUCGGGGCACUCAUGUACGAUUAUGGACCAGGUUUUCAGCUCAGAAGCUUUGCGAUCGGCGUGGUUCUGAUCCAGGAUUUCAUCUGGGUGUUCAAGUUCAUUCCGGAGAGCUUUGAUCCCGUGGCAUGUCUCUACGUGUUGCUCCGGGAGGGUGGACUGAAGAUGCUCACCAAGCUCAUGUGCGCCCAGCCGGGUCUACUUGGAGUUCUCUGAACCUUCAUCGUGUUCUUUGCUUGAUGCUUCUGAAGCAACAAAACAUAUGGAGUUUUAUAGUUAGUCCAUUGUGUUUAGAUUUAUCCUCAACUAAAGAUAUAUUACAUUUGUCAACUGAUUUUCGUCAACUUUCAUUUCUUGGAUUAUAUAAAGGCCUUCCACAAAGAAAUUCUCUUCUAGCUAUCAUUGUGAUUGUUUUUGCUUGUACUUUUGUAAAUGUGCAUUUAGAUAGAACAUGGAAUACUUUGCUGCUAAUUGCUAAAUACCAUGCCAAAUGCCAAAACAUUAACCACACUGAAGAGAACACAAGCAACUCAAGUGUUUAUACUUUGCAUCAUGAGUUAAGGCAUAGUGAUUGAUCUUCUUAUUUUUUCUCCAUCUUCUUGUUCUCAAAUGCAAAAGAGGAUUUCCAUUUGUCCUAUUUUGGCUGGUUUGAUAGAUCGAAUGAGGUUUCCGUCCAGCAAGCGAUUUGGUAGGCGCCGAAUAUUUGGGUUUGGCACGCAACUUAUUUUUGUCAGCCCGGAACAAGCGCAGAUAGAUGCCAGAUUUGAAAUUCCAUUUUUUCAUUGAUCAUGGUCGCCUCGACUCACAUAAUGGUGUUUUGUGUUUCCGCCCGUUCUUCCUGCUUCUUUAAGUAGGUAUUGGAUAAGUGUGGUUUCAUUCCCUGUUCCUCACAUCGAUUGGCGCAAGGCUCAAAAACAUGCUCAAUGCAUUCUCUUGGAAAAAGAAGGCCAUGGCAGAGGUGUGCCUUGGUGUCCUGGGAGUCCUUGAGACAGAUAAGGUGGUGCCGUGGUAAUAUUCCAUUCUCAAAUAAAAUUUGAGAACUUAUUCAACUUAGAUUUGAGAUUUGUAGGCCCGAGCCUAGGGCGGGCCUUCCAGAAAUUCUCGACGGCCUCCCUAAGGAGACACGAAGAGGGGGUUUGGAAAUAGUUUUCAACCAGCAAUUGACGCGUCUCGGUAAAACCUCAUAAACUGCGUCAUUGCCCCAAGCGCAAAGAUAAAACAAACCUCCAUCCUAGCUUGGUUUAUAUACCCGCGGAGUGGCACGAUUUCAGUCCUUGGCUCGUGAAAUGGGGCUGGCUGGCGCAGCAUAUUCCUAGAAGUCAAGGUCACGAGACCUUUGUAGCCGCUCUUUUUUUCUGCUGUUAUGUGGAAACCAGGAGACUUGCAAUAAAGCAAGCAGCUGAUGACAGUCCGAACCGGACUGACCGACACUGAGCGAACAAAUCAUGGGCUUCUUUCAAAAUUCUUGGCGCAUGAAUGCAUUUUUCAUGAUUCUACUGUUUGUCAUUUUAUAUCAACUCUAUAGUUUAUAUAAACCUUCAUUUAUAAACCCCUUGCACAAGAAUUGUUAUGGAAUUUGGGCAAUCCCUUCUAGCUCAUUGUGAUUGAUUUUGCUUGUACUUCUACAAAGACAUACUCUUACAGCAUUGAAAUGCCUAGGAACAUUUCAUACUGGACUAUAGAAGAGUUUUCUAGGUUUGCAUCUUUCUUUCUUCUUGUUACUAAUUGAAAAUUGUAUAGUGCUUGAGUUGGACCAGAUCUUAUGAUUGCUCUCAAGAAGCAAUAUUCCCCAUGUAACCCAUAAAAUGGUCUGGGCAUAUGCCACAUGACAGUCGUGGCCAGUAACACACCAUGCUCAAAAUAUAUCUGAAUAAAAAAGUUUUGAAGUGUCAUAACAAAAAGGAGAAAAAAAAAUUAAAGACAAAACAAUGGAAUUUAUAAUAAAAGUAAAAGAUAAACCUCUUACUUUAAAGAAAGAAAAGUUUAACACAAUUUUUUCUAACAAAAAGUCAAGGCUCUAAAAGUUAAUUAAAAGCAAAGACUUUUGGCCUCUUCAGAAAGAGAAUAUUGCUUAAAACUUCACUGACCACAUUUAAUUUUUUCUAGGGACUCCAAGUGCACAUAUGCUACAUUGGCAUUGCCAAUUGCAAAGGAAGUAGGGGGGGUGCAGGUGAUCGGGGGAAGGGGCUACUGACUACUACCACCCAGGGUUUAGGGGUGCAGAAACACAAGCAACUCGAGUGUCUAUACUUUGCUUCAUGAGUUCAAGCACAGUGAUUGUUUUUCUUAUUUCUUUCUUCAUCUUCUCAUUCUCAAAUGCAAGAGAGGACUCAUCUGUGCUUUUGAGCUUCAAAAACUCCGUGGAAGAUCCAUCUAAAACUUUAUCCAGCUGGAAUAUAAGUGAUAACUUCUGCCAGCACUGGAAUGGCGUAGCCUGCACGACAAAAGGCCGAGUUUCCGUUCUUGAGCUUGAGCAUUUAACGUUACCGGGCUCGCUCUUGGUUUCCACAAUCAAUGCUCUACCUUUCUUACUGGAGCUAUCUGUCUUGGGAAGCAACUUCACUGAUGCCAUGAAUUCCUCUGAACAUGCCUGCUCACUUGAGAUGAUCAAGCUGUCAAGUAACCAAAACAUGACCUUCACGAGCAGUUUUGAUGCUAUGCUCGGCUGCCAAGGUCUAAAGGUUCUCAAUCUUUCAAACAAUCAGAUUGAUGGUAAGAUAGAAGUGCCAAUAGGCAAUGCUUUGGAGGUAUUAGAUGUUUCACAUAACUUAUUUAGUGGUGAGGUUCCCCUCUUCCUGUCUUCACAGUGCAAGAGGUUGAGAUAUCUAGACCUCUCCCACAAUCAUCUCACCGGAGAACUUCCAGUGGAUCUUCUUAAAAAUUGUACUAAUCUGCAACAAAUCUCUCUGGCCUACAACAGCUUCCAUGGCACGUCAUUUCCCUCUAUUCACUCCUUGCCAUCGCUGGAAUUUCUCGAUGCUAGCUUCAAUAACUUCACAGGUCCAGUUCCCGCAAUUCAUGAGAACCUCAAGCAUCUUAAUCUCAGCUCAAACAGUUUCAAUACAACCAGGGAAAACUUAUGUCCAUCGCUCAACUCCUCGAGGCUGGAGAGUCUGAUCCUGGUCAACAACAAGCUCACCGGAAGGGUAUUGGACAGUGUCUUGAAUUGCUCCAGCCUUAAGAUGUUGGAUUUGAGCUUCAACUUGUUAGCAGGAGAGAUUCCAAGCACUAUCUGCAAACAAGUUCCCAAGCUCGAGCAUUUCCUCGCGUGGGUAAACAACCUCGAAGGGCAACUUCCCCCAAACUUGGCCUCAUGCAGCAACCUCACCAAGAUCAUCCUCACUUUCAACAAUCUCAGUGGAAACAUUCCACCUGAGCUGUUAUCCAACACAAAGAGCCUCCAAUGGUUAAGUUUGAGUAAUAACAGAUUGAGUGGAGAGUUUCCUGAUUCAUUGGAGCAUGCAAAGGAGAUGCUAGUGCUUCAGUUGAGCAACAACAGCCUGCAGGGCAAGCUGCCCAGCAACAUGACCGUCCAGACAAUAAAUCUCCGCGGAAACAGCUUGAGCGGGAGGAUUCCAGCCUCUUUGAAUGGUUUCCAAGGCAGCAAACUUGCCAAACCCAACGUUGCGGGGACGAGCUUGAAGAUAGCCUCAGGGAUCAAGACAUGUGGGUGCAUGGACAGCAUUUUCAUGCUACAAGGAAUCUCUUUGGAAGAAAUGGAGAGUCGACUCACAGCCAAGAGUGGUGGCUGCAAAUGCUCCAUAAGUUUCCUUCCAGCAAGCUUUUAUGGUUUCUCCGCUUCCAGCCCUUCCUUCAUCGAUGUUUCAUUCAACAAAUUGGUGGGAGGCAUCCCUCGCGAGCUUGGGAGCAUGCAGGACGCCUCUUACAUCAGCCUUGCGCACAACUUCCUCUCGGGAACAAUCCCAGUGGAGCUCGGGGAUCUCAAGAACAUCAUAGGGAUGGAUUUGUCAUUCAAUGGUCUCCAAGGAAGCAUUCCAGGCUCGUUUUCCUCGCUCCAGUCCCUGACAGGGUUGAAUGUGUCUCACAACAACUUGUCCGGUCCGAUUCCACAGGGUGGCCAGCUUGCGACACUUGAUGCCAGUAGCUACGCAGGAAACGCCGGUCUUUGUGGCUUCCCUCUAGCGUCGUGCAUCACAUCGCCACCAACAGCGACAAAUCGUGCUGACCAUGGCUAUGGUGGAUUUGGAGCGGUUCUUGCGGUGAGCUUUGCAAUUGGGGUGGUGGUCUCAGUUAUCUGCUGCACAAUGGUAGUCACCAUUGAUAGUAAGAAACGCUUUGUGGAGAGAGCUUGCUAUGGAUGAUCGACACACCGAAAAGAAAAAAAUGCCCAGCCACGCUUAGUCAAACAAUUUUAAGCGUUUUUCCAUGUGUAUGUUACUUUAUAAGAAAAUCUUAUUCAACUUAAAUUUAAGAUUUGUAGGCCCGAGCCUAGGGCGGGCCUUCCAGAAAUUCUCGACGGCCUCCCGAAGGAGACACGAAGAGGGGGUUUGGAAAUAGUUUUCAACCAGCAAUUGACGCGUCUCGGUAAAACCUCAUAAACUGUGUCAUUGCCCCAAGCGCAAAGAUAAAACAAACCUCCAUCUUAGCUCGACUUAUAUACCCGAGGAGUGGCACGAUUUCAGUCCUUGGCUCGUGGGAUAGGGCUGGCUGGCGCAGCAUAUUCCUAGAACUGAUUGUCCCUAAAAGUAAAAAAUAUGCAUUUAUUCACUCGCUCAUGCUUCAUGGGCUAGAGUUUUCUCGGGGAGGAUCUCCUGGAAAAAUUUCUCGAGCUGCUCGUGGUAGAGCGCCGGAAAGCUCCGCAAAUGAUCUACGUGAGGAGAGAUCCGCAUGUCGAAGCACGAGACCUUGUAGCCGCUCUUUUUCUGCAAAUCCAUGAACUCUUCGACGUAGCUCGCUGGGAUGACUCGGUCGGCGCUGCUGUAGAUGUAGAGCUGCGGGCAUCGCGGCUGCUUGCUCGACAAAAUGGAGAUGAUUCUUGCAAGUCUCCUGGUUUCCACAGCAGAAAAGGAGAGCCGAGAUGUUAGAAACUAGCGCCGCAGGAAAAGAUCUAGCGAGGAAAGAGCACCUCUUACAGUUUGACAGCGGGAACCGCGAGUAGAACCGCGAAGAACUUCUCCAGGACUGCCAGGAGCAGAGUCUCGGACGCGCUCGGCUGCGCAAGGAUUGCUCGCUCGGCGUCGGUCAGUCCCGCCAGCGACUGCGUCGAGAAGCUUUGCUUCUUGAGAAAUGCUGUUGCGAACCCCGAGGCCCAGACCUUGCCAAAACGUAUCAGCUCGAUGUAAGAACACGACCAGGAUCACGUAAAACUUCGUCGGCUUACCUGGGGACUGAGCUCGGCAGCAGGCCCCGAAUCUACAACGCAUCCUUUUAUUCUGCUCGUGAGGUGCUGCUGCCCUUGCUGCUGGAGUUUCUCGAGUAGAGCUCCAUAGCUGUGAAGAAGGAAUCAAAUCAACACCAUUGCUUUGACAACUAGGAAAAAAAUAAGAAGACCACUUUACUAAGCUCUAGAAAAACCAUUAAAAAAAAAUAAAAAAAUAAAAACCUGACUGCUAGAGAAAACUUACUCUGUUGGGAACUUACAAGAACCAGCCGGUGUUGCUAAAGGUGUGGAACAGCACCGAUUUUUCCUUUCUUCCACCGCUCGCUAGCCACUGCUUGAUUUCCGCGUAGAGCAAAUCGACAUGCCUGUCGGCCUUCCCAAUGACGCCGAGGCUCAGCAAAUCCGGCAUUGGCAUCACGAAAGUCAUAGCACUGAUCCCUCUCGAGUUAUACCACUCGGCAUAUUUCUUCAAGUGCUUGUGUUGAGCACCCAGCCAUCCCAGGAGCACUACCACCAGAUCUCCCUCUCCAUCUCCAAGCCAAGAAUCUCCAUCGCGGGCAUUUUUCCUGUCCGAGACCCCGUGCAUGACGAUGCUUUGCUUCGCGGGAUCCGGAGACACGCGAUCUGUGACGAACGGGAGCUGGAAUUUGAUCCUCGCCGGCCAGAAGACAUGGAAAUGCGCCCGCUGCGAGCUGGAGCACGAGAUUAUCGGCCGCGUUUGGCGACGCGGAGGAGCUACACGAGCCACACUGGCGACACUGGAUCUCGUGGAGCGCGCAUUCUUGCCUGUGAUGCGGCCCGCAGCAGGACGCGCCAGGGAGUGAAGAUUCAUGGCGGAGACCGGCCGAUCGUGUGGCAGAAGCCCUAAACCCUGUUUUAGGGUUCUUCGUUUAACAUCCUUUUAGGGUUCUUCGCUAACAUCAAGAGACAUAAAAGAAUCCUUUGCACAUUAUUGUGUGAGGCAACCAAACCCAUCACCGAGGAAGAAGAAAGAAGAAUCGCCACAGCCCAGCCAGCAUUGUCCUGUGACGCCCCAAAUCUCUACAAACCCCUGCCCCCCUUCUUCUUCGUUCUUCCUCGUUUCCUCCUCUAUAGACCCGCCCAAUUCUGCGAAUCAAGAGAAAUCGUAAACCUCUGGAAUCGCCACCGGGAACUGGUCGAUGCAAUCCGCCCAGGGCCCCUUCUCGCUCGCCUUGAUCGUCCGCAGCGCCCGCCACACGGCGCUGUUACACUUGAACCCGCUCCCAAACGCGAUCUGCCACACGCGGUUCCCCUUCCUCAUCCUCCCCUUGGCCUCGAUGUACGCGAGCUCGUACCAGAUCGAGGAGCUGGACGUGUUCCCGAAUCGGUACAGCGUCAUCCGCGACGCCUCGACGUGCUCCGCGGUGAGCUGCAAGUUCUUCUCCAGCUCGUCGAUCACCGCGCGGCCGCCCGCGUGGAUGCAAAAGUGGUGGAACGCCAGCCGGAAGUCCGGGAUGUAUGGCUUCACCGCGCGCUUGAACACCUUGCGCGCCACCAGGAAGCUGAAGAAGAUGAUCUGCUCGGACAGUGGCAGCACCAGCGGCCCCAUGGUCGUGAUGUUGGUCUUGAGCGCCUGCCCGGCGAUGGCCAUGAGAUCUUUGGAGAGCGACACGCCCAUCUUGGCGUUCUCGUCCUCCUCCUGGUAGACGCAGCGGAAGGACUUGUCGUCGGCGCCCUUGUGCGUCCGCACGGUGUGGAGGAGCUCGUACUUGGCGCGGCGGCGGUCGGAUCGUCGGUUGCUGAGCAGCAUCGCGGCGCCGCCGACGCGGAAGAGGCAAUUCGGGAUGAGCAUCGAGCGGCGGUUGCCGAAGUACCAGUUCUGGGUGAUGUUCUCGGUGCUCACCACGAUGGCGUAGUCGUUGCCGUGGACCUGGAGCAUGUCCUUGGCGAGGUCGAUGGCGAUCACUCCCGCGCUGCAGCCCAUCCCUCCCAGGUUGUAGGAGCGGAUGUUGCCGCGCAUCUUGUACUUGUUGACGAUCAUCGCCGAGAGCGAUGGCGUGGGGUUGAAGAGGCUGCAGUUGACGACCAGGAUCCCGACGUCCUUGGGCUUGACGCCCGUCUUGUGGAAGAGCUCGUCCAGCGCGCUAAACAUGACGGUCUCGGCCUCCUGCCGCGCCGCAUCCAUGGAUGGUCGCGGCGGGAGGUAGUGCAUCGCGGGCGGGAGCGCGGUCUGCUCGCCCAGCCCGGAGCGCUCCAGGAUCCGGCGCUGGAACUCGAGGCUCUUGUCGUCGAAGCUCCCCGACAGCUUGGAGUGCUCCAUGAAGGAGGCGAAGGGGACGCGGAUGUUGGGCGAUGGCUUGUGGCACGCGUAGUCGACGAGGAAGACGCUGCGCGGGCGGGACAUGAAGUAGACGGUGGCGGCGAAGACGAGCAGCGCGGAGCACGUCAUGACGCUGACGAGGUUGAAUUUGAGGUGGAUCCAGAGCUGGUGGAUGUCCUCGGGGCCCAGGCGGCCGACCUCGAUCGCUACCCCGAGCAUCAGCGGGACGAGCGUGAGCGUGAUGAGAUGCGUCACCAGGUAGUGGUAGCCGAGCUUGACGUACUUGAGGUUGACGCUCUGGAGGAAAUCCGGGAGCGGCAGCCGCCGUGAUCCUCUGGACCCGCUGCUCCUCCGCAGCAGCCUCCCGCCUCCAUCGCCAAUUCCGAUUCCUGAGGAGGCGCUAGCAGUGGCAGCGGCGCUGGGUCUCUCGUCGGCCAUCGUUGGGAUUGUUUCGCGAGCUCCUGUGAUACUCUGUUCGACAAAAGCCACGAACUUCUUGUUCUUGGAUGAGAUUUUUUAGGGUUCUUGGGAGUGAGGGAGGAGAGAGGCGUGGGUGGCGAUGGCGAUGGCGAUGGCGAUGGCGCGACGCAUUUAAGGCAAAGCGAGGCCGGAUCAGUAGUGCAGUUAAAGGGGCAUUCAAUGGCAACACCAACCUCCACUUUCGGUGAAGAGAGACAGGGCAAAACACACGAAAGAGUUUGGUGCUUUUGUUUUUCUUUCUUGGGCGAUCGCUCGCUCGCUCUCUCGCUCGCUGGAGAGGAGGAUUGGGGAGGAAUCUCGUUUUCUAGCUGGGAUUAGGAUGGUGUGUUUGGGAUGCUCUCGAGUUCCUAGUGAAAUGAAAAAGGUGGUACAUUGGUGGUAAUAAGUCGCUCCUUCAUUGACUUGGCCGCUCCUCAUUUAUAUCGGGUCUCUUGCGUACAGUGGAUGGAGAGAAGAAGAGAGCAGCGCAGCAGCCAUGCCAGCCAGCAGCAACAGGGGAGCAGCCGAUUGGUGUGAAUUUGAUUCAAGUCGGUUGAAUUUACAACCCUCUGGCAGGAUUCAAUCGUGUUCUUCAAUGUCCCUCAUGGAGCAAAUGCCACCGGUCAAGCAUUUGCCUCGCCGCUAGAUUCCUCGUGAACAUAGUCAAACCGAGAACCUUCAUGGUCAGUCCCAAGUCAGUCAACCCAUCAGUCAACGCGGUCGCUGAUUGCUUCGAUGAGUCAACGACGUCAGUAACAUGAAAGUACACAUGCUGACUGUAGUGUACAUCUGGACUCUGGACGCUACGUCGGCGGCAAAAUGGCUGACGCGUAUCACUUCCAAGUCACAAGUCAACCAUCAGUCAACGCACAAUGACCCCCAUUGGAUACGAAACAAUAUCCAGUCAACAUGCUGACUGUAGUGUACAUCUGGACGCCACGUAAUCGGGCACGCGUCACUUCCUCAGGUUCCAGUGGAGCCGCUCGCGCACGCUACACAGGAAGUGGUGCGUUGCCUCUUCCAGGGACGCUGUUGGGACGGGCCAGGGGGCCAUUUGGCAUAUAAGCUGGUCGCCCGGGGAGAGCUCCACUCGGUCCUUGCCAUCAAACGAAGCCCAGGCGUUUUGGAGCGGGACCUGGACUUUGAGCGUCACGUAGCCGGGAAGGAUGAGAGGCCUGAAGGACAGCGAAUGCGGGCAUAUCGGCGUGAAGAGAAUUGCUGGAACCUGAAAGACAUGGAGCUGUAAGUCGUUUGGAUCCAGAAAAACAAAGAAAAAAGAGGUUUUUGCAAAGCUUACGUGAGGAUGGACCAUCGAGCCUCCGGCCGCGAGAGAGUACGCCGUGCUGCCCGACGUUGUGGAGAGGAUGAGGCCGUCCCCUUGCACCGAGGUGAGGAAGACGUUGUCGCAGUAGCACUCGAGGUUCGUGAGGCACGACGACAUGCCCCGGUCGAUGGAGACUUCGUUGAGAACCAGGUGCAUCUCCGACGCCGAGCUCUCCCCGUUCCUUACAAUCUGGCACUGCAUGCGGUGCCGCAGCGUGAUGCAAACCGGGCCCUUCAUCACGUACUCGAGGCAUUCCUUGUAGCGCUCGCUUUCUGUGAGUUUAGUUAAGUCGAGCAAAAAGAAGAUAAAACUUGGAAGGAUACGGAAUGCCGUCAUGAAUCCCAAGGAGCCCAUUGAAAACGAAACCAUGGGAGGGACGGGUCCUUUGAACAGCGACGCAGCCUGCAAAAGAAGCAUAAGUCCGCCAAUAAAAAAGCGCUGGUUGUGCUUACCCACAGUACAGUGCCAUCUCCACCCAGAGUGAUAACAAGGUCGACUUUGGUGUGUAAGAACAAUAACUCUUCUUCUGCAAAAAGCAGACGGCACAGUGAAGAAAAUGCUUCGCUGCAAAGCUUUCAGCCUACCAGAAUCCCAUGUUUGUACAUAAGUGCAGUCCGAGCUUUCGUCAAGCUCAUCCUUCACGCGCUGCUCAACGAACACAGUGAUAUUUUUCACCUCCUUCAGCCACCUGAAGGCUAGUUUUACAUCACGAACAAAAAUAAAUAAAUUUAUUUUCCAGGUACCUGAUCAUUUUCUUGCACAGCUCUUGCACAGCAGAAGAAUUUGGUCGGGUAAAAAUACAGACCGCUCGCGGUGUGGAUUCCCAAACAAGUAUAAUCUGCAAUGUAGAGAAACCAAGGCAUCAGAUUCCACAGACGAUAGUCUCAAUUGCAAUCAACCUGUUUGUUGCUACUGGUAACGGCACUAAUGUUCCCAGAAUCGUAGGACACAAUGUCAUGCUUGUGCCUUCUAUGCCUGUCACCAUUAUAACUCCAUAGCAAUUUGAAGGAAGCCUGGAGUCGAAACAAUGUAAAACUUUUUCUUUUCCGAAAAACUGCGUACCUUGUGGCUUGGAUGUUGAACAAGAAAUUUACAAGACCCGUUUUCUUCCUCUAAAACAUCAUGUUGCGGUGUUUCAAGCUCACAGCCUUUGACUUCCCGGUUCUCGACACCUGAGAACUUCCAUUAGCAACGAGCCAAGAAAUUUAAUUUAAAGUGUACAAGUACCUGGAAGAUCUUUUUCCUGUAGAAGACUCUCAUAUUUUCUUUUCCACUCGGCCGCCUCCAAUUGAAGCUGAACGUUACGCUCGGCAACUCUUUUCAUCGCAUUCGACACAGCUGUUCAAACAGAAAACGAGAGAAAAGAUGUCAGCAGUUCUCACGAAAUUCAAGGAGAUCUCACGCACUCUGCAAACUGUUGCUAAAGUCGAAAAUUUGACGACUAGCGUCCAUGGCGGAUUUCUCCGGGCGCGCAAACGUUUGCCAUCCCUCGAUGCCAAAUCUGAGAUUUUCCUGCUCCAUCCGCGACAGGCUCGCCGACGAAUCCUCCCUCCCCAGCGAGCACUGCCAAAAAUCGAGAAUGCAAGUUAGAACAAUGCCGAGCACUGGAAAAGGAAAAGGGAAAUCACGAGCGCAAACCUGAGUGAUCAGCUGGCAGCAUGGCGCCAGAGGCCCGGCAUCGGGGGCGCCGGACGCGCCUUGCGCCAUGAAAAACCUAAUCGCCACAACGCGAACACGCAGCACGAGCCCGCUUUCACCAUCCACACAACACACACACUCAAAGCGUCUCCCGCGAAUAUCCUCUUUUUACACGUCUCGGUUCGAAUCCACCUGUCAGCAGCCCAUGGUUCAAAUCUCCUUACAAGCAAAAUUCCUCUAGGUCGUUGAGAAUAUUCUCCGUCUCCCUCCUCCAGAGCCCAGCGCCCGCGCAGGCGCCCUUGACGAGCACCGGCGUCGCCAGAUGCCCGAGCUCCAGCGCACGCGCCGCGCAGGACGCCGCGCGGCGCACAUCGCCGUGGAUCUUGCAGGAAUUGAGGAAUGUGAUCCAGGUGAGGGCGUCGGGCUCCCAGGGCAUGAGAUCCAUCACCUCCUCGGCGCGGGGGAGCUGCCCGACUCGCCCGAACAGAUCCACCAGGCACCGGUAGUGCUGUGCCUCCGGAUCAAUGCCGCGAUCGCGCCACAUUGACGCGAAGAACUCGCAGCCCUCGUCCACGAGCCCGCCCUGGCUGCACGCCGUGAGGAGAUUGACGAAUGUGACGCCAUUAGGGCUCACGCCGUGGAGAUCCAUCGCCCGCGACAGUGCCGCCGCCUCGCCGCGGUGCCCGCUCUGGGCAUUUGCCGCCACCAUCGCCGUCCAUGACACCACAUUGCGCUCCGGGAGAGAAUCGAACACCCGACGUGCGUCCCCGACGCUCCCGUACCUUCCGUACGCGGAGAUGAGGGCGUUACCGACCGUACAGUCGCCCGCGAGGUCGCAGUCACGGGCGCAAGCGUGGCACAGCCGCGCCUCUGCCACGUUGCGACACGCGUCCAGUACGGCGCAGAAGGUGACGCGGUUUGGCCGAAGUCCCUGGGCGUCCAUUGUACGGAAGAGGAGCAUCGCCCGCGACAGCUUCCCAUUCAGGGCAUAUGCGCCGAUCAUGGAGUUAACCGUAACAAGGUCGCGCGACGGCAUAUUCCUGUACGUUUGCUCAGCGUCUUCCACGCUCCCGGUGCGUCCGUACGCGUCGAUCAUGGCGUUCCAGGAGAAGAGAUUCGAGACGGGCAUCUUUCGCAGGAGCUCCUUUCCCUCGAGAAUAUGCCCGUUCUGGGCAUAUGCUACUAGCAUCGCGGUCCACGAUACCACAUCCCUUUCCGCCAGGGAAUCGAAUACCAUCUUGGCCCGCGGAAUUUCACUGCAUCUGGUGUACAUUACGAGGAUUCCGGUGGCGAUCCGGACGUCCGAUUGGAACCCACAUUCCGCGACCUUGGAAUGCAUCUCCCGUGCCAGGCCGGGGCAAUCGAUGCACGACAGAAUGCCCACGAAUGUCACGCUGGACGGCUUGUGGCCGUCCGAUUCCAUGAGCCUUAGAACGCCCACGGCGUCGCGGGACCGCCCAGCCCUGGCGUAGAACGCGAUCAUCGCGUUCCAGGCGACGUGAUCGCGCUCCUCGCGCAUCUCAUCGAAGAUCCGCCGCGCCUCAUCGAGGUGUCCGCUCUGGGCGAGGGCGACGAGCAUGAGAUUGGAGGAAAAGAGAUUGGGCACCGGGAUCGCGCGGAACGCCCGCCGCGCAUCGUCCACGCUGCCGCACUUGCCAUACAUCUGGACGAGGAGAUUGGCGAGGAAUGUGCUCCUGUCCAGCCCGAUUCGAGCCAGGUGAUCGUGGAGCCACUUCCCCUCGUCCAGCGCGCCCAGCUCCCCGCAUCGCCGCAGGAGCGUGGCGUACGCCUCCGGAUCGAGCGCAGAGCCAGCGAGAUUCUCCCUGCUGAACGCGCCCCUCAAGACGAUCGAGCUCUCGGCGGCGAGGAUCCCCCUUCUCGCCGCGCUCAUCCACCAAGACCCAGAUUUCGAAUCCAAAGAGCCCGCGAGAAUCCAACGGCCGAGAGCGCAGUAAGCCCUAGCAUUUAAAUCCGGCCGAUCGUGGACGUUGAAGCGCCAACGGCUAGGAUGCGCUGGGCAUGGCGGUGUUUCCCAGGCUCAUGUGAAGGGCGCGCCCUGGCGGCAGCGCAGGCUGGGCAUUUGCAUCGAUCGCUGGGCGGCAGAGUGUAGCAUAGCUAGGGCGAGAGGUUUUUAGGUCUGGGCGAUCCAGGGGGCGUCGGCGAGGACAGCAAUGCAGGCGCCGCAAAUGGGCCCUUACACGGGCACUAUGAUCACGACUGAGCUCAUCCAGAAGGUAUGUGUGUACUUUGGGGGCUAAUCUUCGCGAUUUUGCGCGAAAUUUUGGUUCCAGUGAGUCUAAGCGCUGCUCCAAGAUUUUCUUUUGUUCUUACAUUUCUUUAAGGUUAUUGAUUAAGGCUUACUUUGUUUUCAUUGUUUAGUACCUGGACGAGAACAAGCAACUUAUCCUGGCGAUUCUAGACAACCAGAACCUGGGAAAGCUUCAUGAAUGCGCAGCGUAAGCGUCGUCUCCUUUUUUUCUUCCAAAGCUUGAUUGUUUUUUCUAUGGAUUGGAAAUUCAGCUACCAGUCCAAGCUGCAACAAAAUCUUAUGUACUUGGCUGCCAUCGCCGACGCGCAACCUCAAAACCCUCUUCCGGGUGCUCAGGUGUGUUUUUCACUUGCAUUCUUUUUCUUUUCUCAAGAGAAAAACGUCUCGCAUUCUUUUCUUGUGUUUGUCUGAAAAGUCUUCUUUUGUUUCCGUAGAGCUUUUUCUUACUUGCAUUGUUUUUCCUUCUAUGCAUUCCUUGUUAUGUCAUCAAAGCAGACUCCAGAAAAGGUUUUGCAUUUAACUUUGGCAUUGUUUUCUUGUGGUUGCCUGAAAAGUCUUCUUUUGUGCCCGUAGAACUUGCUGAUAUGAUUUCUUCUCUUCACUCCCUCUCUCCAGGUUGCGCAAGCCUCCAUGCUCCAAGCAACUCCUCAGUUCAUGCAGCAGUCCCCGCAGCAAAUGGGCAUGAUGGAUCAGCAGCAGCAGCAGCAGCAGCAGCAGCAGCAGCAAAACUACACACAAAUCCAAAUGGCUGCGCUCCAUGCUCUCCAAGCCCAGCAGCGCCAGCAGCAGUUCCAGCAGCAGCAGAGGCUCGUCACCGCGGCGGCAUCGGCAGGGAUGCUCUUGCAGCCUCCACACUCGGAGCUAGAGCUGGGUGGCGCUGGAAACGUGAGCAACGGAAACAACAUGACGGGCAUGGGAGGAGCUUUUCCAGACUACGCUGGCAACGCUGCCAAUGGAGAUCUCAUGAGGAACUCUGCCGCAGCCGCCGUGAGCGGCGACGCCUCCAAAGGGACCAGCGCCGUCGCCGGAUCGUCUGGAGCUACUGCUGCCGAUGGUACGGGAGACGACGCUGGCUCUACGUUUCUCAAGUCAUCAGAGGAAGAGUAAAAAACACCAGGGAGGAUUGCAGUAGAAUCAGCUACAUUCCUUUCUUUAACUAUGUUUCUUUUCUUUGCUGUUAGUAGGAUCAUUUGUCACACUUCGGUCUCACACUUGUGCUAGAUCUUUUCUCCCGGCGUUACACCCGUUAUAAUACUUCCCACUCAUUGCCGAUCUACAUAUAAGUAAAGAGAAAUGAGGCCUGCCAAGCUCAAGUCUCGUUUUUCAAAGUUUUUUCCAUGGAUUCCAAGCUGAUGAUCGUUCUACUUCUUGUAGCAGCCACAGCGGCAAACAGUCUCCAACUUCAAAGAAAGGUGGUCGAGAAAAACUCUUGCUUCCUCAAACUCUCUUGCUUGUCUCCGCAGAUAUCUUUCUUCGUUCGUCGCAACUGGGAGAACAAUCCACCGCCAUCUUCAUCCCCUCUAUCUUCCGGCAUGGGGAUCGUCCGUGUCAUCGAUAGCCCGAUCCAUGGCACUCGAAGCAACUCGUCCGAGUGUAUAGGCCGGCUCCAAGGAUACUCCAUCACGGACGCUGCUGGAUCGUCGACUCUCUUCUAUCUUACGAGCUCCUUUAAUGGAAGUACCAUCAAAGGGAACCUCAUCUACCAAGGCCGAGCCUCGAGCAGCGCCAGAACACCCGAAGUUUCGGUCACUGGCACCUCCGGAGUCUUUCGCUUUGCCAAGGGAUACUCGCUCCUCUACAUGGACAGCCAAGGGAUGCCCGAGAGCGUUGAGAGCUACCUCUACAAGACACUGUAGGCGCUGCAAAUCUCUUGAAUAAAUCUGCUAUGUGAAUUUCGUCGUCGUCAUCUUCCUGGAACAAGGAAGAACAAAACCCAGGCGUUAUACAAAAACCUUCGCGUGCUAGCUACCAAGGCCGUAGAGGUGUGCGUGUGUUAGAGGAGCUUUAAGCUGCCGGUUACUUCGUCCACGAGUUCGUCGGGACCUGAGAGAACAAGAUACAAUCAAGUUAUCUGCAAGCUUUGAGAUGGAUCAAAACAUACCGAGCACGGUCAGGACUGUUCUCGAGUCUGCGUGAAAAUAGUAGCAUCGUAAGCUGGAGUCGCCACUUGGGAAAAAAAAAGCAUUCAAAAUAAAAAACUCACUUGCGGCAAUUUGCGUUCUGCCAGCAUCGAUGGUUAUGUGGGUCGGCAACUUCAGACUCUUGGCUCUACUCUGUAAGGGAGACAACAAAAAAAUCUGUAAGCUUACUCGGAAGAACUAUUAGUACCUGAAGAAACAAUAGCUCCUCUUCGCUCUCCGUCUUGGUGACGACUUUGACGCUUCCACACAUCUCCCACCUUGCAAAGGAAAGAAAACCAGUAAGAAUCCAGUAAGAACAAACAAGACAGGCAAAUGCAUACCUUUGAAGAGCUUUCGGAGCUCUAAAGAACAGCUUUUUGUACAAACCGAGACUAGAAUGGCUGCCAAAGAAAUGGAAAGGAAAGUUAACUUAGACCAAUCAAAUAAAUCUCUCACCUGCAUUGAGCGGCAAUCUUCCCUUUCCCCAUCUUCAAAUCAUUCCUCACGACCAAGACCUGGAAAGAAUCCACACUGAUCUUCAGCGGCAUUGCCCCCAAUCCAAGCGAAUCAUCCCGCUCACCAUCUUGAAAUCCUCGUGCUUGUCCGCCAGAACCUCGACUGGAUGUAGAUCCUUCUUGCCAUCGUACUGGUGAACCGUGGAUCUCUUCCCCGCCUGCUUCUUCAUCCUGGGAGGCAAGAGAGCCGGCCAGCGUCGGCACAGAUAGUAGCCAGCGAUCAAGCAGCCCGUCCCGACAAGGACAAGCUGCAAAUACCCGUGGGAGCACGCGUCCACCGCGUCCUCCAUCAUCGCCUUGUUAGGGCGCCCGCCAUAGCCAUGUAGCCCUAUGAAUACGUGGCAGCUAUGACAUGGGAAAGAAAAAACCCUCCAUUUAUGACAUGAGUCAACCUGAAAAGCACCUAAAACGAGAGGUAAAGCGGAAAAAAACUCCAGAAUCCCCUCCAAUGUCAUAACGGGUGUGAGCUAAAACCCCUCCAUGUCAUAAGGGAUCCCUCCUAGCAAAAGAGAGAAAACUACUCCUCCAUCUCGCCCUCCUCGCCAUAGUCCUCGCCCUCUUCCUCGGCCUUGGCGUCCUGGUACUGCUGGUACUCGGACACCAGAUCGUUCAUGUUGUUCUCGGCCUCAGUGAACUCGAGCUCGUCCAUCCCCUCGCCCGUGUACCAAUGCAGGAACGCCUUGCGCCGGAACAUCACUGUGAACUGGUCCCCGACCCUCUUGAACAUCUCCUGGAUCGACGUUGAGUUCCCGAUGAAGGUGGCGGAGAUCUUGAGCCCCUUGGGCGGGAUGUCGCACACGCUCGACUUGACGUUGUUUGGGAUCCACUCCACGAAGUAGGAUGUGUUCUUGUUCUGGACGUUGAGGAUCUGCUCGUCCACCUCCUUGGUGCUCAUCCGCCCGCGGUACAUGGCUGAGGCGGUGAGGUAGCGGCCAUGCCGGGGAUCCGCUGCACACAUCAUGUUCUUGGCAUCCCACAUCUGCUGCGUCAGCUCCGGCACGGUGAGCGCGCGGUACAGCUGCGAGCCGCGCGACGUGAGCGGCGCGAAGCCCACCAUGAAGAAGUGGAGGCGCGGGAAGGGCACGAGGUUGACGGCGAGCUUGCGGAGGUCGGCGUUCAGCUGGCCCGGGAAGCGGAGGCAGCACGUAAUGCCGCUCAUGGUGGCCGAGAUGAGGUGAUUGAGAUCACCGACUGUGAGAUCAUGGUCACGAGAAACAAAGCGUGAGAGAAUUGUUGGUAUGAUACCCUUUGGAUGUUUCGAAGGACUCGUAACCUCCAAUGUACGUACCAUGAUCGACAAGAAAAGAAGGAAACUUAACCAGCUUGGAGAAAGGUGACAGACCAUGCCUCCAGUCAUGACUUUGAAACAUAGCAGAGACCGCCCAACUUGGACAAAGGUGACGGACAAUGGAAACCAAGCAGUCGACGAUGACUUACAGGUUGGCGUGGUGAGCUUGAGGGUUCUGAAGCAGAUGUCGUAGAGGGCCUCGUUGUCGAGGACCAUGCACUCGUCCGAGUUCUCCACCAGCUGAUGAACCGACAGCGUCGCGUUGUAAGGCUCCACGACCGUGUCGGACACCUUGGGCGAUGGGAAGACGGAGAAUGUGAGCAUCAUCUUGUCCGGAUACUCCUCCCGGAUCUUGGAGAUGAGCAGCGUCCCCAUGCCGGAUCCCGUGCCCCCUCCCAAGGAGUGGCAUAUUUGAAAUCCUGUGCGAAGAUCGAUCGAUCAAUGAAAACUUCCAAGAAACAAGAGUUUGGGGGGAUGUUCUAUAUGUACUACGUACCUUGCAAGCAGUCGCAACUCUCGGCCUCCUUGCGGACAAUGUCGAGCACCGAAUCGAUGAGCUCGGCUCCCUCGGUGUAGUGACCCUUUGCCCAGUUGUUCCCGGCGCCGGUCUGGCCAAACACGAAGUUGUCCGGGCGGAAGAUCUGGCCGUAAGGCCCCGAGCGCACGCUGUCCAUGGUUCCGGGCUCCAGGUCCAUGAGAACCGCGCGGGGAACGUAGCGUCCGCCGGUGGCCUCGUUGUAGUAGACGUUGAUCCGCUCGAGCUGGAGGUCCGAGUCGCCGCGGUAAGUUCCGGUGGGAUCGAUGCCGUGCUCGUCGCACGAAACCUCCCAAAACUUUGCUCCGAUCUGGUUGCCGCACUGCCCGCCUUGGAUGUGGCAAAUCUCUCUCAUGGCUGCUGCGCUGCCUGGUAGUCUGGAAUCGAUCGAGCGAGGGAGGAAGAGAGAAGAUUCUCGUCGCCGUUGUCCUGGAGAGAAGAAAGAGCCCGAGUUUUUUUACGCGGCCGCGCGAACCAUUCACACCAUUUCCACGGAACAGACACAACCGGUGAGUCGUCCAUGUCACCAAGAAUAUUCUCGCUUUACAAUGAACUCGAUCAAAAACUAGACAGAUCUUGGAUCGCUAUGGUUUUUUUUUUCUUCUCCUUCUUCUUCGUUUGUCCUUGCGAAGAUCAAGUGUCAGCAUUCAUGAACAGUGAUUCAAAGAUUUGUGGUCUUCAGUAGAAAAGAAAAGGAAGGUUUCACACGUUUUUUAGGGAGCUACUUUGUGGAGCAUGCCAAAAUGGCGUGAAGGGCGCUCUCCUGGAUCUGGGGAAGGAAGAAACAAGCUCGCCCAGAUCAAACUCCAGCGCCCAACACAUUCUCUCGCAAGUUUGCUAGGCCUAGUGCUAGAUCAUAGAUUUUGUUUUCCAAGUUUCUUGGGAUCCAGAUGGGUCGAGGACUCCAGCGGAGCCGAUGGAUGGGACUUUGCGUGGGAAUGUGGAUGCAAGCCUGCGGCGGGAUCUCGUACGCCUUCUCGCUCUACUCGGCGGAUUUGAAGCAAGUCAUGGGCUACAACCAGGAGCUCAUCGACGCGCUGGGCACCGCCAAGGAUAUCGGAGGGAAUGUAGGCAUUGUUUCUGGGCUCUUGAUCGACAGGACCUCCGCGUCUUUCGUGCUCCUCGUCGGUGGCUUGAUGCACUUGAGUUUCUACUCGAUGGUAUGGAGAUUUUCUUUUGUGUUCUUACGUGUUUGUCUCACGUGUUUUUUUGUUUUUUUUUGUUUUUUUUGUUUUUUGUUUUCUCUCCUGGUUGGAACUUGGAUCUUCCAAUCCAGCUCUACCUUGCAUCUACAAAGCAGAUCUUUCCUACACACUGGCAGGUAUGAUUCCAAGCGAAAGUUUGGAUGAAUUUUUAAAGGACUUGCUUGGAAGUUCUUCUUUUGUCUGUUAGAUGUGUGGGAUUAUCAUGCUCGGCACUAACGGAGCAACAUGGUUUAACACGGCUGUUCUCGUCACCUGGUAAUGCUUUCUUUCUUCUUUUGAUUUUGAGCAUAGGGAGUGCGUUUCGCUAAAAACUUGGUGGCAGCAUGAGAAACUUUCCGUCGGACAGGGGCGUGGUUGUAGGCCUUCUCAAAGGAUUUAUUGGCCUCAGUGGUGCCAUCUUCACUCAGGUUUGAAGAGCAUUCUCGUUCUCAGUCUUAAGUUUUUGUUUCGUUCUUCGUUUUUGCUAAAACGCAGGUCUAUACUGCGAUUUAUGCACCACACACUGGCCCGUUUCUUCUAUUCUGUGCGACGUUUCCACCAAUGGUAGCACUCGUUUCCAUGCUUUAUAUUCGUCCUAUCGAUCCUCCAAGGAACAAGGACGAAGCAGACGAUCACAAGUUUACAAUGCUGUACGUAAGUUUAGGCCAGUGGUAAGCUACACUUUGUCUGGAACGAUUCUUAGGCUUUCUUGUUUAUCCCAGAUCACCGGUCUCGUAUUGGCAUUCUACCUUAUGUGCAUCAUAUUGCUCCAGGUAACCUUCGUCACUUUCGAGUUAGUGGACCUCUGUUUCUCUUCUUCCAGGAUUUCUUUGUCGUCAGGAAAGCAGCCAGCCAGUUUUUCAUGUUUAUCAUGCUUCUCAUUCUUUUGGUUCCUGGUGCCAUCUCUGUAAGCAUACAGUGCUCCCCGCUUUGCUGUUUUCUAAGCUUUCUAGCCUCUGCGUUCUUCCAGCUUCAUCCUGCGGAUGGAAGACAGAAGAUCCAUCCUGAUACUGAUAGUCUGUUCGUCAAGACACCGAAAAUGCUGAAGAACUCGAUAAGAAAUCCGAUAACUGUAGACGUUGGACACAGGAUAGCGGAGCUCCGGAAUGAUGGAGCUGUAAAUAAUGGCGGCUUGCCCGGCUCUCCUUCAAAGUCCAAACUCCGCCUUGGUAGCGAUUAUACCCUGACUCAAGCUGUGAGGACGGAGGACUUCUGGUACGUAAUUCUCUCCUUCGUUUAUCUUCUCUAUUCACGUAGUGUUUUUGAGCUCGUUUCUUUCGUAGGCUUUUGUUCUUUGCAAUGGGAUGUGGCACUGGCAGUGGUCUCACUGCAAUAAACAACUUAGCGCAGGUGUGUAUGAGCUAUCUUCACACCCACAAAGUUUUGCUCGCAGAACACUACUAAAGCCUCCUGAUACUUUCAGAUGGCCGAGUCUCUGAAUUCCAAGAGCAUAGGAGCAUUUGUCGCGCUGGUUAGCGUGUGGAACUUCCUCGGCAGGCUAGGAUCGGGGUAAUGCUUUUAGAUUCCUUUGUCUCCUCUGAUUGUUCUGCCGCAGUUAUAUUUCCGAGUUCUUCAUGAAACGGUCCGGAACUCCAAGGCCGGUUUUUCUUCUGAUUGUUCAAGCGCUCAUGGGAUCUGCGCAUUUGCUCUUUGCUUCCUCGGGUAAAAAGUUUCUUCUCGAUUCUCAUUGUGAUUCUCAUGGGUUAUGAAAACGCAGUUCCUUCGUUGCUCUACGGAGCAUCGAUACUCGUCGGGCUUGCUCACGGAGCUCACUGGACUCUGAUGGUGGCAACAUCCUCAGAGCUCUUUGGCCUCAAGAACUUUGGGGCUCUCUACAACACACUCAGGUACAAAAAGCUUCCUUUCGUUUCCUCUUUGUAACAAAAACCAAGAGUUUCUCUCGCAGCAUUUCUUCCACUAUUGGAUCCUACGUACUAUCUGUGAAGUUGGCUGGCUAUUUGUAUGACCAACAAGCUGCUGCUGCCAACGUGAGGAGGUGCAAGGGACCACAGUGCUUUCGGCUCACGUUUCUUAUCAUGGCCUUAGUCUGCUUGAUCGGUUGCGUUGCUCUUGUCCGCCUUGUGUCCCGGACGAGGCUAGUCUACCGUGAUAUUCAGAGGCUCAAGGCAGCUAGCCGAUGAUCAGAGCUUGGAAUUCAGAACUGCGGCAUACAUUCUUCCAAAUGCAAGAUGUCUAAAGCCUGGCGUAUGAAAACAUACCUGGGUUCUAAUUCAUUGCUUUUUCCUACGGGGACCAUGUACUGUGAAAGGCCAUUGGGUCACCAGUAAGACUAUUGUUUUUUACAUGAAAAAAUAUGUAUUGGAAUGGAAACUAUAUUUUUGGGCAUGGUACCAAGUAAGUAUUGGGAGAAUAACCAGAGUGAACAAGCUGGUCAGGAUUUCUAAUGAGGGUCUACUCAAUUGACUUAGAUGCUGUAGUUCAAGAUAUUGAGUUUAGUUCUUAGUUCAAAACAAAUAAAUGUUAAAUUAUAUUUAUAAGGUUUAUAUAUAUUACCAUGCUUAUAUAUUACAAACUAUUUAUUUGGGACUAAUCCAUUUUUAUAUAAGUAGGGGUCUAAACCCCAAUUAAUAUAUUUAUUCUCAUAUCUCAAGCAUUUAUCAUUGCAAAUUGUGCUUGCAAGCCAAAGUUUUGCUUAGUGUUUGGGAUUGUGGUUUCUUUUCUUCUCUAGAUAUGUUAUACCUUUUUACAAGAUUUAGGAUUGUAACUAUUAUAUAUGUUCUUUCUUUCUACUAUACCAUGUUGUUGUUAAUUGAAGUGUGUAUUAUUAAAGGUUGUAGUUGAUGCCUUAUAAUUGUCAUUUAGUCCUACUGUUAUGUCCUUUUGAGAUUAAGUUUUUGGUAUUGUGAGGCAUGAUCAUGUUAAUGCUACUCCUUAGUGUUUUGCCAUUUUCAACUUUGUAGGACGUAAUUACAUAACUUGUUAUAUUUUCAAUAUCUUGUAUCUCCCAUUAAGGUGGAGUGUGAUUGUGAUAUUAAUUAAAGAGUUAUGGAUAAUGUAGUCUAGUUUUUGGAGGGUGUUUCGAGGAUUGAGUUUAUGGAAAGAUAAUGUUUACAAGUUUGAAUAAAUUUUUGUUGACAAGGAGUUUGAUUAUUUUAAAAAUAGCUUUAAAGAUAAGUUAAAGAAUUCAGUUAAUCUUUUAUUUUACCAUUUUAUUUUUGGAGGAGGGAGUAGAGGGGACAAACAAGAAUCCACCCCUGAUAAUAGAGUGAAAAUGAAUGGAUAUAAUAGUGAAAUGAGGACAAAUGGCAUGAAUUGUCGAGUGAAAACAAACAUAGCAAAUCUAGAUGAAAUAUUUAUAUAAACGACUAAAUUUUCUAUUUUACUUUAGUCCUUUAAUUAUACUUUUGACCACUUGAGGAAAUCUCACUCACAACCUUCAUAAAUUCUCAUCCUAAUAUAAGAAAAGAUACUUGCUAAAACUAUCAACUUUACAUUUGGUCCAAGUGUUUUAUGUGUCUAUAUCCCAUUUCAAACACUCUAAAGGUACCACUGAUGUACUAGCCUAUUACAUUAAAGCCACAUGAUAUCUAUUAUUAUUAUCUCAUUAGUAAUCUAAAAGAACCAUACCACAUAUCUAUUUUUCUGAGAUUGGAUUGUAAUUCCAUUUAUGACAUGUAAUUAAUGCUUACUUCUUAGCAUCCUUAAGAUGUCCUAAAACUUAGAGAAACACGACUACCUCCACUAUCCUUUCUUUGAUCCCCGCAAGUAUUUACCAACAUGUUUAUUGGGUCAGGGCUUGUAAGCCCAUCUAUCAAGUUUUCGGACUUCUUCACUAUGUAACCAUAUAUUUAGUUACAAAAUAAAAAGAACAUUCCUUUCCUUUCCACAAUUAAGGACUUUGAGACAACAUUUCAAAAUACUACAAUCAAACGCAAAUCUUAUAUAUACUCCCACCACCUUUAACCACUAAAGUUUUUUAGUCACAUGACUAGAAAAAGGUUUUAAUGAGCCACAGAAGGUAUUCAAAUAAGUAGUGUUACCCAUAUUUACAUCAACUAUUUGAUCUAUUGAAGGAGCUAGAGUCAAUUUCUAAACACUUUACCAAGUCACCCCAUUUGUCUAUUCAUGUUUACUAUAACUUUUGGAUUCCCCAAUGUUCAUAUUAUCACCCACUAUAAGAGUAUAACCUUUUUUGAUCACACUAAUUCUCUUAAAGUAUUCGCCUUAUUAUCCUGUAGGUUUACUAAACCCCCUAGGGUUUGGAAGACAAUUACAACUAGCUGGGAGACCGAUUCAUCAAAGCCACAAAAGAUUGUCGCGUUUGAGCCUAGAACUCAAGUUGAGCAGCAAAUCAUACAGCAGCAAAUGGGUGAUUCCCUACUAGAAGUGGUUGUUGCCAUUAUUCUGCACAUCACGUGGCACUAUGGGAUGAACUUCCAUUAGAUAUAUUUAGCUUUAGAUAUGUCUACCCUUCAUACAAUCUAAAUACCCCACCACAAUGAACCAUGGACACUGUACUUUCAAAAUGCCGGAAAUGUGUGGCUUGGUUGAUAAACUUUUGUCAAUGCCAUUGGCAUACCUUUUGACUCCACUUUAGGACUUAAGGAUUUAUGUUUUAUAAUCCAACUCUAACAUAAUAAAGCUAAAUAAAUACAACAAUUGAAGCAAAACAUAAAUAGCAAAGUAAGGACAAAUAGAAAUGAUAUUUCAAAAUUUCUUUUCCUUUAUGAAGGGGAUAAAAAGGAAUAUAAAAGAUGAACAGAAUGAAUUUAACUUCCUAUAUGCAAUGUUAAACAAAGAUAAAGUGAAUCCAAAUUAAUGUGGGUCAAAAGUUGAGCAAAGGUAAGAUACAAAGAUAGGUUUUGUUAUUAGUCAUAAGUCCGAGUUAAUAAUAAUCUCAAAUGGUGGCCAAUCAUCAAAUUUAAAGAUAAGAUAUAUCAUUUGAUGUUUGAGUGGCUUUGGUUCAAAAUUAUCACUUUGAGAUUAGUUCAAGCAUUUGACAAUUGUAUACAAAGUUGUAGCUAGUAAUGUCUUGAUGAACAGACUAUCAGCGUCAAGAUGAACCUUCUGUCUCCCAUCUGCAGUAUGAAACUGGAAGAACGCAGAGUUUAACAAACUUAGAAAACAGCAAAGGGGUGAGAAUUGUACGCUUACAGAGAUGACACCAGAAACCAAAAGAAUGAGAAGCAUGAUAAACAUGAAGGCUGGCUGCUUUCCUCACGGCAAAGAAAUCCUGGAAGAAGAAGAGAAAGGAAGCUCUAUAUACUAGAAAGAGACGAAGGCUACCUGGAGCAAUAUGAUGCACAUAAGAUAGAAUGCAAAUACGAGACUGGUGAUCUCAGAUAAACAAGAAAAGCAUAAGAAUCGAUCCAGACAAAGUGUAGCUUACCACUGGCCUAAACUUACGUACAGCGUUGUAAAUUUGUCAUCGUCUGAUUCGUCCUUGUUCCUUAGGACGAAUGAAAAGCAUGGAAACGAGUGCCACCCAUGGUGGAAACAUCGCACAGACAAGAAGGGAUGGGCGUGUGUGGUGCAUACACCGCAGUAUAGACCUGAGUUUUAGAAAACAACGAAGAACGAAAACAGAAAGUUAAGAAUGAGAGUACCUUGAGUGAAGAUGGCACCACUGAGGCCAAUAAAUUCUUGGAGAAGGCCUACAACCACGCCUCUAUCCGAAGGAAAGUUUCUCAUGCUGCCACCAAGUUUUUAGAAAAACGCUCUCGCUAUGAUCAAUCAAUCUUAUGGAAGAUCCAACCAAGAGAAAAAAAACUUACAAAAAAAAGUGAGACAAACACGAAGAACACAAAGGAAAAGAAAAGCAUCGUGUGGAAACUUAACUGCAUCAAGCCACCGACGAGGAGCACGAAAGGCGCACAGUAGAAACAAUGCCUACACCCCCUCCUGCUUCAAAUCGCCCAAGCAGAGCGAGAAGGCGUACGAGAUCCCGCCGCAAGCUUGCAUCCACAUUCCCAGUGACGCAAAAUCGGCUGCGGUGGAUCCCAAGUAACUUCGAGAAAAUCCAUCUAGUUCCCGAGAGACCUGCGCGUUUCGGCCCAUAGAGUUGCGAAAGAGAUCUCUAGGAAAACAUUUGUAAAGAAAAAAUAAAUCUCUUCUGUUUUGGACAAGCUUCUGCCCUAGGAACUUAGCGAUGGAGCUGCGGUGCGUGCUAGACAACGUCCAGGGGCUCGUGGAUUCGCUCAGCGCUGUGCGAUGGAAGAAACAACAGGUGAUCGAUAGUUUCCUCCCCUCCUUAUGGCUAUCUAGAAAGCUUUCUUCUUUUCACUCCACAGGACGCUAUUUGCGAGGUCUCGGAGCAUGGACUGGUGAUCAUCGUAGAAGAAUGGGGAUGCCUCCAAGCUCGAGUUUACUACAGGAAAGAAGUAAGCGCCCCAAAGUUCAUUGUUUCUCAUUGUUGCAUCAAUGUUCUUCUGGGUUUUACAAGCUCUUUGUUUCAUACGAGUAUUCGGCAGAGUCGAGGCCGAGAUUUGGCGUCAGCCUUGGCUUGCUCGUUGACACCUUGAGCACAUUUUCUUCGACUGGUACCACUGGGCUUGAGCUCUCGUAUCCCGGAUCGGACAUGCAGCUUCUCCUCAAGUAAGUUAACUGGUUCGAUCGAGUGAAAGGCUUUUUGAUCCAUUCUCAGGCUCACGGACGCUGAUAAUACGUGCAUCUACGCUGAAAUUCGAACCAAAGUCACGGACACUGUCCCGAAAGAGUACAGUGUAGACGGCGAUGGUGGUCGCCGAGCAGUCUUUGCAGUGAAGGUUAUCACUGAUCGCACCUCCUUUUUGUUUUUGAUAACUUCCUUGUUGUGUAGUCGGCGGCGUUGAAAGAAGCCAUUGACGAUCUCGAGUGGCCGGGCUCGAGCAUUUCCAUCACCAUAUCUCCCGAUCCAGCCGGGGUGAUUCUCAGAGGGGAAGGCCAUCAUGGAGACCUGCAGGUCGAUCUCUUAUCCUCACUUUCAGUUCCCCACUAAGACUUCUUUUGUACUUGUUUAAGAUCGACUUCCCGUAUGAUGCUCACAACGAGCUCUUUGCCGCGUUCCAGUGCCAAAGCGAAGUAAGCUACAGGUAUGCUUUCCAGAUUUCAGUAGAUCUCGCAAAGUUGCUACGAUGUUGCCCAGCUACAAGUAUAAGUUUCUGCGAGCAACCACAGCCAACGUUCCAAACAGCGUGACGAAAGACAACAGGGGCAGCAAGCUAACCAUUGGAGCCGGGGGCCUCCUCAAAGUCCAGCAUUUAAUCUCCCUCCGCCAGGCGCAGCAGCACAAUAUGGAUCCAAAUCCCACACAGCAGGGCCGCGUUUCUUACGUCGAGUUCUACCUAAUGCCAGACGAAGAAGCGUGAGUACAGCGCUUGAUUAAUAAGAAGAUCAUAAAGGAAAAUAUUUUGUUUUAAGGGUAAAGUACUACUUAGUAUAGGUUUAAUAACUAUUGAUGAACACUAAAGUGUAGGCUUAGAGUCACUUUCUCACAUCGCCGUACCUGCAGGAUUCCAAAAAGGCUCGUCUUGCGGAGCGCAUGGAUGAGCUGAGAGCAUUAACUCGCACCACCAAAGACACCAAAGAUAAGGGCUUUUCGCCUCUAAACACCAUCCUGAUUCACUCUCUCUCCGCUUACCUGGUGAUGACGUGGCAUCAGGCUUUUUUUUUGUUUUAUCUCCAGCGCACUCCCUCUCCCGUCCGUCGCCGCUGCGCACUCCCGCCCGCGGCUAUCGCCCGCCCGCGGCUCCCGCCCGCCCGCUCGCCCUCACGGCUCCUACCCGCAGUCCCACCCGCCCCCGCACGCCCAGCGUGCGCCCUAAAAUUACUUCCACGUGGCCACAGCCCCAACACUUAGCCAAAUUUCAAUCAGCGCGCCUUAGUCCGCCGGUUUCUUUUAUGAUCAAGCAUGGCAGCAGCACAUCAAUUUCCAGAGGUAAGCAAUCAAUUCAACUUCAUAUUGAUUCAAGAAAAUUAUUUAGGAUCCCCCAUGGCUUGAUGAGGUGCAAGAAUUCCAUGAAAAGGAUUAUUUUUGUGCAGAUGAUUUAGAUUGGAAUUUGUCUAAAUCAAAUGAAAUUAUACCUCCUAUUGUGUAUAUAUUACAGAAGGAUGUGAACAAGUUUCUAGAUGGUGAGAGGAUAAGGGGUGAUAAAGUGGAUUUCUGGCGAUUUUCUAACAAAAAUUGUGAUCCUGGAGAUUUGAAACGACUCAAAAACACAAGCUUUUUAUCAUUAAUCAGGUAUAUCUUUUUAACAAAAUAUAAUUACUAACUUCUUGAUACAGGUAUUAGUGUGAAUAUGGAAAACAAGAUGCUUGUGAAACAUGAAAAGUUCAUAUCAAUAUUUAAAAUUUAUUUACCUCUAUACUAGUCCUUAGCUGAAUUUCUUGUUGAUGCUGUAUAUUUUGAUGCAUAUCUUCUUGCUUAAUAUUCAUAUAUAUUAGUAUAUAAAAUAUGCUAGUUUACCUCUAACGUAAUUUCCAACUGAAUUUCUUGUUCAUGAUAAACAUUUUGAUGAAUGUUUUCCUGCUCAAAUUUUUAUAAGUAUUUCAAAAGUUUAAUUAAUAAGUGAAUUACCUCUGUCAUAGCUUCCAAGUCAAGUGCUUCAAAAUCUUGAUGAUGAUAAAAUAAAUCAUCUGAUCCAGGUUCUAAGAUUGUAUGUGAUUGUGAUGGUUGAACCUUAUAACUAGUUGUAGUCCAAUCAGUUUUUUCUCCUUGUUUUAACAUAAUAAUUUUUGCUUGAUACUUGCAAAAGUUUCCUUUGGUUGCCUAUGGACAAUUACACUAAGUCGAAAAAGCCCAAUCACUGUGUCCUUCACUUCCAACAACAAGAUACUAUAUAAUUGGAUCUGAAGAAGAUUGUACAUAGGAUUUGUGAGGAUUGUCCUUAUCGAAUUUUAUUUGAGAGUUGUUAAUAUUUCUUGCUUUAACAAUUGCACCAUCGAUUAGUUUUUCAUAUGCAUCGUUUCGGAUAAAACCAUGAUCUUUGCAAUAACUAGUAAACCAGUAUCUUGCAUGAACCUUAGUAGUAAGUUGAUGAAUUGCCCAAUCCAUCCUUCGAUUGCGAGCAUGUUUUUUUUCGGAUGAGAGUAUAGCUUUCAUAUUUGUAUGGAAUGCCUCAAUCAAACUAUUUGUCUCUUUGUUAGCAUGAGGGAAAUUUCGAGCAUCAACAACCCAUAUAUCUAUCAAAUAUAAAUUAAAUUAAAUUAUAAAAAUUAAAAUAUUAAUUCACUUACCAACUUUGUCCUUCCAUUCAUCUUAAAAAUACUUGAUAAAGGCUACUUCAUUUUGAAAAUCCACUUCAAAAUGUUCAAUAAGUUGUUUAAUCUCAGCUCGCAUAAUAUUAUCAUCAUGAAAAAAUGCAUGAAUUGAAUGAUAUAUAAUAUCUCUGAGACGUUUAUUUCCAUCCUAAUAUCCCAAGAUUUCAUCUUACAAAUAAUAGGUUUGAGCCAAUUCCUCCUCACAUGCCAAAUAUAUAAUAAAAUUUGACAAUCAAAUGUAGCUCUAUAUAGAAGAAAAUAAUUAAAUUAUUUCAUAUCAAAUUAAUUACUUUAUAGCAUUAAUCUCUGUUUCAGCAUCAUCAAUCAUUAUUGCCCGUGGUUUCUAAUUUGGCAUGUGUUCUAAAACUCAUUUUUUAAGAGCUAUCAUCUAAUUCUUCAUAUAUUCUCCUUUCUCACUAAAAGUUAAAACCGAUGCAAUUGAAAUACCAUUUCCAUGAUAAUCAAAUUACCUUGUAGUGAUUAGUUCCAAAAGUUGCAUCAAGACUCAAUAAAUUAUUAUUUGAAAAUUCCACCAUCUUUUGUAGUUGCCAAGUUGUCUGAAUCUCAAUAGUAAAACAAUCUUUACCUCGAUCACCUUCCUGAUAGAAAAAUAUUUUCUCGGGAUUUGUGUUUUUCCAAAUACGUACACUCUAUGCGUCAUUCUCAUGUAAUCGAUAAGUUGAAAGCAAAUACUUCCUAUGCAGAUUAUUGAUAUCCUGCAUAGUUAGAAAAUCAUCUCAAUGAAGAGGUUCACCAGCUGACUUGUUCCUUCCCACAAUCUGUAUAUGCUCAUUAUAAAUCUGAUUUGAUGUGAAAUCCUACUAAAUCAUAUGAAUCACCCAAUGUCAAAUAUCUAUUGAAAGCUUCUGAGGAAAUAAUGACUUUCCUCCAGUCGGAUCAAGUUGACCAUGAUAAAGAAUCCCAUUCUUAUCACAAUGCUCUCUAUGAUAAUACGUAAUCUGCAUAUAAUCAGGCCAUUUGUAAAACUGUUUGACCAAAAAAUUGCAAAGGCAACCUCACUUAUUAGAACUUUGACCUGAUCUACUUCUAAGUCUUGACUUUGGUGUAAAUUCAGCAAUCAUAAUAGAGGAUGUUUCACGAGCAUCUUGUUUUCCAUAUUCACACCAAUACCUGUAUCAAGAAGUUAAUAAUUAUAUUUUGUUAAAAAGAUAUACUUGAUUAAUGAAAAAAAUCUUGUGUUUUUGGGUUGUUUCAAAUCUCCAGGAUCACAAUUUUUGUUAGAAAAUUGCCAAAAAUGCACUAUAUCACCCCUUUUCCUCUCACCAUCUAGAAACUUGUUCACAUCCUUCUGUAAUAUAUACACAAUAGGAAGUAUAGUUUCAUUUGAUUUAGACAAAUUCCAAUCUAAAUCAUCUGCACAAAAAUAAUCCAUUUCAUGGAAUUCUUGCACCUUAUCAAGCCAUGGGGGAUCCUAAAUAAUUUUCUUGAAUCAAUAUGAAGUUGAAUUGAUUGCUUACCUCUGGAAAUUGAUGUGCUGCUGCCAUGCUUGAUCAUAAAAGAAACAAAAACGUUUUUAGGUCAAUUAUGGGGCAACCAUCUGGCGGACUAGGAUUGAAAUUUGGCUAAGUGUUGGGGCUGUGGCCACGUGGAAGUAAUUUUAGGGCGCACACUGGGCAUGUGGGGGCAGGUGGGAGUGCGGGUGGGAGCCGUGAGGGCAAGUGGGCGGGCAGGAGCCGCGGGCGGGCGAUAGCCGCAGGCGGGAGUGUGCAGUGGCGACAGACGGGAGAGGGAGUGUGCUGGAGAUAAAACAAAAAGAAGGCCUAAUGCCACAUCAUCACCAGGUAAGCGAAGAGAGAGUGAAUCAGGAUGGUGUUUAACGGGAGGCCAAAGAUAAGAUCCAUGGAGCACCCAUUGAUUAUAUAGUUUAAUUUUUUUACAUUCAUUACUAAUGACAUAUUUCUAAAACUAUGUCCAUUGUACAAAUACAUAUGGAGCAAAUUUAAUAAGAUUGUUGUUUUGCGAGCAAAACUUUGUGGCGGUGUGAUAGUACUUCAGAUGUAAUCGUUGUCACACAGAUACUCGGGCAUGGUACUCGUCCUGAUACUUCCAGAUGGCCGAGUGUCUCAAGGGUUAGCGUGUGGAACUUCCUAUGAUCGGGGUAUUGCUUUUCGAUUCCAUUUUCUCCGAAUGUUCUGCCACAGUUAUAUAUUCGAGUUCUUCAUGAAACGGUCCCGAACUUCAAGGCCGGUUUUUCUUCUGAUUGUUCAAGCUCUUAUGGGAUCUGCAUGUUUGCUUUAUUUAUGAUUAUGCAGAUCUAUGGAACGUUCCUCAAAUUCACUGUCAGUACCAUGCUCUAGCAACAUGGCUAGAUAUACCACCCACUGCUGGACUGGGAGUAACACAAGCAAACUCUCCAACUUGCGCUAACGAGAUUCCAUGGACAGUUCAAUGAGUUUGCUUCUAAACACUUCUACUAUGUGAACAUUAGAAGUGUGGUUUAAUCCACAUGGCAGUUGAUGUGGAGUGUAGCAAAAGAUCUUUAUAAAGUGGUAAGAUGAGAAUUAUAAUACUAUAUUAAAUUUGUUCUAACAAAUCAAGGUGAAUAAGAACAUUUUUAUUGUGCCAUGAGGACUGAUUGCAUGCAGCCACACACCAUUCCUAUUUAGGGUGAGAAUAUAAAUACAUGUGGUUGUUCUAAUAAAUCUCAUUUUCAAGGCGAAUAAGAACAAUCUGCUAAUGAUUGUGUGAGCACUGAGAGCAUGUGGCCACACACCAUUUACAUUGUUGGAUGAGAAUGAAAAGAUGCAGCAAGAGUCUUUAUAACGCAAGUCUAAUGUUAUUUUAUAACUUUCAUUUUUAAGGUGAACAAGAAGAAUAUAAAGAGUGAGCCAUAUGUCAUUCCUAUCUAAGGUCAGAAUUAUAAAUACCAAGUUCUUAAUAUAUUUCAUUUUUAAAGUGAACAAGAAUAAUUUAUUGAUGAUAGUGAGGAGUGAGAGAUAGCAACAAAUAUGUGAUUGAACAUGGAAAUAUUAUAUAUUUACAUAUGUGUAGAUUUAUUUUUUUAUUUUGAGUUGCAUGCAAAAGUAUUAUACACACAAACACUUUUCGAUUAUUAUAUAAGCAAUCAAAAUAUAAUUGUGUGUAUAAUAUUUUUAAUUAGGGUAUAACACCUUAAACCAUACAAGACAAAUAUCACAUCAUCUUAGAUAACAUGAUGUCACCACAAAUAUAGUAAAGGUAUUUUAUUUAUCUCAUUCUUAUGUCAUUGAGUACAAAUUUAUGAUCUCCCAAUUGUGAUCAUCUCUCUCCUCCUUUGUGUGCAUUCCAUUUGCCUCUCAUUUCAUGUGUCUAUGCUUUAUUUCUCAUAGUUUGGAAGCAUAUUUCAAUUGUAAAAUAUACUAAUGUAAGCAUGGUGGUUCAAUUGGCAAGUAUUUCUUAUUUCUCACAGCUUGUUUACGUUUCAACACCUUAAUCUAGGUAAUAAUUGAUUGACCUAGAAGUGAGUGCAAUCAAUUAGAAUGUAGAGGUGAGUGCAAAACCAUUUUAUGAAUGUUUAGGGUGUUGAGUGUUGUGACUUUCUGUGAGCAAGUGGAUCUUACUGUAGCCACAGUAAUUUCUCGCAUUCCUAGUUUGUUGUUCUUGGCCUUAAUGUGCAAACACGCCCAAUAGUAAUGCUAAAAAUAUAUAUGUAUGAUAAGUGUUUUCGAUUACCCUUACCAAGGAGAGUGCCUCAAGUACACAAUGGUGGCAAACUCAACUUGCAACAUCUAAAAAACAUGUAAAAUCCAAUUUGUGCACACAUAUAUGUUUUUUUUUCAUAUAUUUUGCAACCUUACACAUUUUUUUAUCAGGUCACCCACCCCAGGUACACCUCUCUCCCCCCAAAACUACCAUCACAAAUUUCUUGCUAUAGUGGCUAUGGACUAUUUUUAUUUAAUCUUGAAAUAAUAUAAGUUGAGAACUAUAUAUUAAGUGUUAAUUUUCUAACAAAACUUAUUUUUAAGAUAAAGAAAGCACUAAUAGUCCUUAAGGGUCAUAAUAUAUAACCUAAAGAAGUGAAACCACUUAGGCACACUAGUGUAUUUUUCUUGAAUUGAUGUACGAAAUCUAAAUUUUAUCAAUGACAAUAUGGUGUUUGGCCAUAUGCAAUAUGUGGCAUGUGUCUAUAAAGAAGAAAUACAUAUUUUCAUAAUUGUUUGUGUCAUGAAAAUUGAAGUCAUGCCAUACAAAAAAUGCAGGGAGAUCAUUUAUAAACAGACGUGAGAACUAUAUAUUUACUAGGACCUGAUUGUUUUGAAACAAUUCAUUAAAAAAAAGAACAAAAAAAUGGCAGUGGGCAUACACCAGCCUAACUAGUGAACACUUCUUUCAUUGUGCUCUCAGUAGUAAUUUCGAGUCAAAUGUCUUACUUUGGAGUGUGGCUACUUGGCAAAUGCCAACAUCACACAGUGGAAAAGGGGGGAGAGGGAAGUGAUCACAGGAGUUAGUAGAUGGUAAAAAAACUUUAUAUUGUAGAAUAGCUUGCUGUGCCACACAUUGGUAAGUUGUAUCCUUAGCAUUCAAACAACUUGUUAGGAGCCAAAAGCUCUUCUAGCCACCUUUUCAGUGCUUCUGUCCAUGUGUUCUCCACUUUCUGCCUCUAAUCAAAUAAGUAGAAAGGAUCUCAAGGCAUUCAUUUUCUUAAGUAAUGGCCACACAAAGAGAUAGAAAAGCUUGUGAAGAAUCCAUGAUUGCAAAUAAUCCAACUUCGCACCAAAGCACCAAAGAGAAAGAGGGAAUGGGGCCAGGGAAGACAAUAUUGAUAUCUCUGAAGUUCUAUGUAAUAAUUUGUUGUGUGAUGCAUGUAGCAAUGUUUGGUUUGUUUAAUAUAAGUGUUAUUCCUAUUUAAUAUUUUUGAAUAAUCUAAUUGAUCAAUAAUUAUAAACAUGUUGUCAGUUUAUAGAUCAAUGGUAGAACAUACUAGGAAGUGUUUAAGAAAAUUUACAAAUUAUAAAUAUAAGAUUAAUAUAAAUGAAUAAUAGCAGUUAGAUGAUAUAAUAUCCUAGAAUAUCUAAGCAUAUUCUAAGUAUAAUGGUAAUUACACAUAUGAAAUUCAUAAACACAUAGUGUGACAUUAUUCACCUCAUAACACAAUUAUUACAUCUUACAUAGUAUUGAUUUAGAUAUUUACAUAAACAUGAAUUCCAUCUUAUGUGUAUAUCCAAAGGUUCUAUUUUAGUGGUAAAUUUUAUGUAAAUAAGAUGGCCAUGCCAGACAAAAAUGAAGUUACAAAAGUCCUGGUGUUAUGCAAUAACUUCAUAAUGAGGUGUGAUGCUUGCAAAUCCUGUGGUAUAAGAUUGGUAAUGAAAUAAACAAAUCAAAAUAUUAACACCAAUAUUGAGUUCAUUAAGGCAUGGAAGUGUGCACAUAUGCUAUCAAGUGACUGACCUGGCACUUCUGGCUCUGAUCCUUUGCACCAUCUUCCAGACCAUCAAAUACACAGGCUUCCUGGUUCCAUGGAUGACUAAUCGCAUCAUUCCAAUCCAUAAGGAUGUUCCUGACAAACUACUGCUGUAUUAUGGUCAGCAGCAUUUUCUCGAAACUCUACGCACACAUGCUGGAGAGAAGACUCUCCCAGUGGGCAGAACAACUCCAAAUGCAUACUUGGGGGCAAGCCGGAUUUCGGCCCCGACAUGGUGUCGAUCAUCUGGUCACGUUGCGGACAAUUAUGGACUGAAGGCGGACAAGGCAAGGCCUACUAAUCUGUUGUUUGUGGACUUCACCAAAGCUUUUGAUACAGUCCCCUGCAAUCUUCUAUUUGAGCACCUCUGGGAUCUGAACACACCUCCGUCUCUCAUCACAGCUAUCUGCCACCUCUAGAUUCAAGCCGAAUUGGUAGGAUGAGCAGCGAUCAAUUCCUGGAAAAGUGCCUCAAUGGUAAAUUCCGAACAAAGUCGGAGACAAGGGGGCAGCCCUGCUUAACCCUGUUUGAUGUCCAGAUGGCGGGACUGUUUCUCCAAUUACUUCUCUACACCAAUGACUUGCUCUUGCUUGCCAACUCCCAUGGGCAAAUGCAAAGACAGCUUGAUGCGCUCGCGAGAUUUUGCACACCAAUACAGCUCUCCAUAAAACUUAGUAAGACACAGCUGCUGGCUUCGGGAAGGGAUGGAAGACCCUCCCCCCUCUGUUCUAUUCAGGCCAUGAGGUCAUGAGAGCAACACAAUACAAGUACCUUGGCAUCACCCUGCAUCAGCAAUGUUAAGACCCCCAACAAGAUCAAAACUAGAAAAUGCUAAAGACAAAGAGAAAAGCUAGUGGAAACAAAGAAGAAGCCUUAGACUGGUGUUGAUUCAGAUUGUGGAGAAAUGGAACAAGGCUAACCUAUAUAUACUAUAGGUUGAUGAAGCUCCACCACUCUUGGAUCGAGGACGGCUUAAAUAUAGCUGAGGUUGAGGAGGCGCCACAUCAAUAUCAGGAAUGUGGCUCGAGACUCAGGAAUCGGGAAGUGUCUUGAGAGUCAGGAAUAGGGAAGUGUCUCGAGAGUCAGGAAUAGGGAAGUGUCUCGAGAAUCAGGAAUGUGGUCUGCAGGUCAGGAAUCCGGCAUCAAGAAUUGGGGGAUUCCUGACAGCACCCCCUCCUCAAGAACGAGUGGAACGAGGAUGUGAAUGAGAACGAUGAGGAGGAUGAGAUGAGCGGCGAGGGAUGGGAGAUGGAGAAAAAGAAUGAGGACUGGGACAACUAGGAUAGCGGCGGUGGAAGUCCUGAACAAGGUCAGGAGAAUGAAUCAGGUUGUCUGCAGGUUCCCAAGUGCGUUCUUCAGGCCCGUAACCCUUCCAGUCGACCAGAUAGUAGAGUUUAGACCGUGAAAUCUUGGAAUCAAGGAUGUCCUGAACCUCGUACUCAGACCCAUCCUCGAGCUGCACUGGUGGAGGUGGAGGAAUGACCCGAUUGGGAAUAGGACUGGGAAUAUAAGGCUCAAGGAGAGAGGAAUGAAAAACGGGGUGAAUUUGAUAUGAGGAGGGAAGUGCAAGGCGAUAAGUGACAGGAUUAAUGAUGGCAGUGAUAGGGAAAGGACUGAGGCGUUUGAAAUCAAGUUUUGGACAGGGCCUGGUGGUGGAGAUAUUUCGCCUGAGGAGCCAAACUUUAUCCCCGAUAUUGUAAGGGGGACAAUCCUGACGAUGGACAUUGGCAAAUGUUUUGUGAGAUUCCUGAGCACGAUGGAGGUGGAAGGAGAUGGAGUUGUGGAUUUCUUGGAGGUUGGAGACAAAUGCCUCAGAGCGGGGAUUUGAAUGAGAGGAUUCGGAUGGAGAAGGAAGUGAGAGAUUGAAUCGGGGAUUUCGGCCAGAGUUUGCAAAGAAGGGGGAAAUUUGAAGAGAGGAGUGAAUAGAGUUGUUAUAGGAGAACUCAGCAAGGGGAAGGAUAUCGAACCAGUUAUCUUGAUGAUAGUUGAUGAAGCACCUUAAGAAUUGUUCCAACGUCUGAAUCGUUCGCUCGGACUGCCCAUCAGUUUGAGGAUGAUACGCCGAAGAGAGGUUGGCCUUCACUCCAAGCAGCUGCAAAAACCGUUGCCAAAAAUGAGAGAUGAACUGAGGCCCCCGAUCCGAAACCACAUCUGUAGGAAUCCCAUGAAGUCGGAAAAUUUCCCUGAAUACCAGUUUUGCCAUGUCCUCGCCCGAAAACUCCUUGGUACAUGGCAAGAAGUGCGCCAUCUUUGUGAAGCGAUCCACCACGACUAAAAUGCUGUUGAAGCCUCCAGAACUCGGAAGAUCACUCAAGAAAUCCAUGGAGAUGGAUUCCCAAGGACCUGAAGGGACUGGAAGGGAACGAAGUAAACCUGAAGGAAGGUGGCGAGGUACCUUAUUCCGGGCGCAAGUGUCACAGGAGGUAACAAAAGCUUUGAUGUAGUCGUCUAUGUGAGGCCACCAAAAGUCCCGUGCAACUAGCUCAUAGGUUUUCGCAAUGCCGAAGUGACCAGCAGUCGGGCUAUCGUGGCACGCCAUUAGGACCAACCUUCGAGCAUCACCUUCAGGAACAUAAAGCUGCUCCCCACGGUAUAAUAAGCCAUCUAAGAACUCGAACUCGUCAAAUCGCCGGCAGUCGGGAGUCACAGGGUGUCCAGCCUGAAGAUGGGGGAAAAUGUCGCUGGCGAGAUCAGUGGAUUGAAGAUCGUUUCUGAUGGCAUCCAUCAAGGAGGAGUCCUGAGGGGCCAGGGAAAUUGCCAUAACUUGAAGCCGAUCAGGACCGAGGAUAAUUUGAUCCUGUUGAUCGAAGGCAGGAUUACCAGGCCUGAGACUGAGAUAGGAGCGCCUUGAAAGAGCAUCAGGAAGGCCUUGAAGCUUUCCAGGUCUGUACUUGAUAACAAAGUCAAACCGACUCAGGAAUUGUGCCCACCUUGCUUGACGACGGCUUAAAACUCGGGAAGUGGCGAAGUACUCGAGAUUUUUGUGAUCCAUCCAGACUGUUGUUUGAUGGCCCGCCCCCUCCAAGAAACGGCGCCACUCUCCAAAGGAAUCCACGAUGGCAAGGAGCUCCUUGUCGUGGAUUUCGUAAUUGAUCUCCGCAGGCUGGAAUUUCCGAGAAUGGAAAGCGACCGGAUGAAGUUCUUGAUCCGCUCCGAGUUGAGACAGCACAGCACCGAUGGCAAAGUCGGAGGCAUCAGCCUCGAUGAAGAAAGGUUGUGAGGAAUCAGCAUGGAUCAACACGGGAGCAGAACUAAAGGCUGCCUUGAGUGUGUCGAAGGCGUGCUGGGCAGCAGUAGACCAAGAGAAGGGAACAUCCUUGCGAGUGAGAUGCGUGAGAGGAAGGACAAUGUCAGAGUAGUGAUCAAUGAAUUUGCGGUAGAAGUUGGCGAAGCCAAGGAAAACCUGAACGUCUGACAUUGAUUGUGGAGGCUCUCACUCGAGAAUAGUCUUGACUUUGGCAGGAUCCAUCGUGAUACCCUCAGGAGUGACAAUGUACCCAAGGAACUCCACAGACUGCUGAUCGAAGGAACAUUUCUUAAGCUUCGCGUAUAGGCCGUGUUCUCGCAGCUUCGCCAGCACCUUGCGUACAUGUUCGUCGUGCUCCUCCUGAGUUCUUGAGUAGAUGAGGAUGUCAUCGAGGUAGACGAUCACCAUCUGAUCAAGAAACUCCCAAAAGACAUCGUUCGCCAUGUGUUGGAAAACUGCGGGAGCAUUUGUCAAGCCAAAUGGCAUGACAGUGUACUCGAAGUGGCCAUAGCGGGUUCGGAACGCAGUCUUCCAUUCAUCACCAGGCCGGAUCCAGAUCAGGUUGUAUGCGCCACGGAGGUCAAUCUUGGUGAAGAAGCGGGCACCGCCGAGGCGUUCCAACAGGUCCAAGAUCAGGGGCAGCGGAUAACGGUUCCGAACAGUCACCUUGUUCAAACCUCGGUAAUCGAUGACUAACCGCAAACUCCCAUCCUUCUUCUUGACAAAGAAGACAGGCACUCCAGCCGGGGACUGCGAAUGCUGAAUGAACCCCGAGGCAAGGUUCUCAUCCACGUACUCUUUGAGGGUUUUAAGCUCGGACGGGGAUAACCCGUAGAUAGGCCCCCAUGGAGGCGACGCUCCUUCCUGUAAAUCAAUGGGAUAGUCAUAAGGCCGAUGAGCA